RNAcentral lists this long non-coding RNA (64626 nucleotides) under Gossypium barbadense (sea-island cotton). The record is from RNAcentral. Lineage: Eukaryota; Viridiplantae; Streptophyta; Magnoliopsida; Malvales; Malvaceae.
UGAUGUCCUCUCCUAUAUUUUAAGCCAGAAAAAUGUCGUCUUUUUCUUUUCUUUCCUUUUCUUUUCUUUUUCUUUUUCUUUUUGUUAGGCAGAAAUAGAUAAUAAUAAAAAGAAAUUUGUUUACUCUUAAAAAAAAAAUUCUGCCAAAUAAUUUUUAAUGUUUGACGUUAUGAUUUACUCAGGGAACAGGCUUCCAGCAUCGCCACGAGCCUCCUGCUGCUACUUGACCUAUGUUACAGAAGGAUGCUGCUUCUCUCUAGGUGCUGGUAUUUAGUCUAAUUUGUCUUUGAACUCUUUAUUUGUACCCCCCCCCCACCCAAAAAAAAAAAAAACAGAGAAAAAAUCACCAGUUCGAUUUGAUCAGAUUCGAGCUGUGAAAAGGCAUAUAUCUAAUAAAAUACACCAACUUCGAUGAUAUUUAAAAGGUUAACUUUGUAGAUGUUUGGGAUAGAAAUAAAAACAAUGCCAAAAUCAAGCUGCUAAAAGAAAUGAGUUAACCAUUUGAAGAAUAUAAGCUUCUAGUUUUAUUCAUAAUAUUUUGUUCAAUACCAGAUUUGCCUUUAUUCCCAGUGAAGCAGAGAAAUAUAUAGAAUACAUAUAGAUAUUAUAUAUAAAAACUAAUGGAACAUUCAUCAAUAUCCAUGCUCACUAGUCAUCAUAAUUGACUUAGUUUCACACCAGAUUUGCCUUUACUCCUAGUGAAGCAUAGUAGUACACAUAAUACAUACACAUUAGAUACAUAUAUAAAACCUAAUGGAACAUUCAUCAAUCCGUGCUCACUAGUUAUCAUAAUUGACUGAUUAAUUAAGUAAUUAAUCAAUCAAUCCUUCUUGUGCUCUUGAUCAGCACGUCGUACUUCAAGGCCGCCAUCAGGUCUCUUCUCAAGUGAAUAAGGCAUAUAGGUUCCUAGAAUUCUGUCCCAUAUGUCAAAGUAGACAGAGAAGUUGUAUUUGGUACCAUAAAGCUGAUGGUGGACAUCAUGGUAUGCCGAAUUGUUGUUAAAAAAGAGGUAAAAGGGGUUUCCGGGAAGCUUCAUCCCGCAAUGAUCAUCCACUAAUUUAAGGAUGGUAAAGGAGGAGAAAAACAUGGCAAUCCGAGGAGACAUGCCGGAGAGGAGUACAGCUAAUGUUCCGCCCAUGGUGUCCAAGAACCCCUCAAUUGGAUGCAUAUACUGUCCUCCAAAUGAAUAGGGAACAACCAGCCGGUGAUGCGGAACAUGAAGGUGUUUGUAUAAAAACUUGUUCUGAUGCAAGUACCAAUGCACAAAAAACGACCAUGUAUCUAUCACCACCAUUGCUAUCACCAAUUGCUUGGCUAGAAGAAGCAAGGUUAGUGAUUUCUUUGGAGAUGCCUCACCAUCUUUUUCUCUUGUUACCUGCAACCAAAACAAAUUAAGUUCCAAGUUCUGAUACAAAUAGAAAAUGGUGGUGCUCUGAUAUUUUAUCUGAUCCUUGAAAGUUACAAACUUACAAUAAAAAAGAAGAAAAAAUUUUGUUUAUAAUUGCAUCAAAAGAAAGGAAAAGGAAAAUAAAAAGAAAAGCCAUUAAUUACUACUCAUACCGCAUACGUGAAGAGGUUAAUAGCAAUUGACAUGACUUGAUGGCAAAGAACGGCUUUGAAGACUUCCUUUCUGGAAACCAAAUUCUUCUCCUCCUCUUCUUUCUUGGAGUGCAACUUGUACUUCUCAAACCUUGACUCAAACAUCACAUACAUACCUGAGUAUAUCCAAUAAACAGCAAUUGGCACCAAAGUGGCCAGCAAUUCCUCCGACGUUACAAAAGCCAUCCCAGUUUUUGAACUUGAUCUCCCUUUAAGUGUUCAAUUCUAAUAAUAGCAAUGGAAAUGUGUCUUGUUCAAUUACACUAUGCAAUAGUCUUCUUAUAGUUCAUAAUUGACAGUGACUGAAAUUCACAAAAUGUAACUAGAGCAUGGAAUAAGGGGGAAUUUUUUUGAUAUAUAUUUGCGUAUAUACUCCUUUAAUUGUUGACCAUUCAAAACACAAAAAAGUAAGAAUUUUGAUUGUGUAAAAUUUAUAUGAAAACUUUAAGCCAGAAAUAUGUUGUCUUUUUUUUUUAUAUGUUAGCCAGAAAUAGAUGAUAAUAAAAAGAAAUUUUCUAACUUUUAAAUAUUUUUUUUGUCAAAUUUUUAUUUCUUGAUGUUAUGAUUUAUCAUUUUUCCUCUCUCUAGAGUAAUUGAGAGAAUACAUAUCAUCAUUAUAUCUUUUGAAAAAGGAAACCACUACAUCAAUUCAAAAAGAAAAAUUACAAAAGAAAAUAAUAAAAAAAGAAAAAAUAUGUGAUGGUUUAAUUGGUGUACCCUGAUGGAAAUGAUUGAAGCUUCUCGUCUUAUGUUUGCCUAAACAAAGCUUAUUUUUAAUUGUCUUAAAUGAAAAAGAAUAUGCUUUUUAGUUAUUUUAUUUAUUAAUUUUUAGUUAUCUUAAGAAACUUUAAGAUAGAUUUAAAAAAUCUAGAAUAUAUCCCAUAAAAGUAAUUGGAUAACUCUUAGGAUCCUUACUAUAAUUUUGCUUUGAAUUUCCUCCAAUCUCAUCACAGUUUCAUUGUUGAGGUGUUGGAUAAAUUUUCAGUAGGAUAAACGUGCUUCUCUUUGUCUAAUUCGAGCUUAUCUUUAAUGGAGUAAUUUUAUCCCUUCCAUUUUUAAAUUUAUUAUUUAUUAUAUUAUUUUUAAUACAAUUGAAGUUUAAUUAGUUUAAAUUAUUAUUUAAUAUGAAAAGAUUUUAAUAUAUUUUAUAAGUCAGCGUAAAUAUAAUUUUGAAUGAAUUUUUAUUAAGGGCAAACAAAAUUCGAUUCAACUAGAAAAAAUUUAAAAAAUAAAUAAAUUUCGAAUUAUUCGAAUUAAAUUAAUCAAGUUAGUCGAAUCAACUCGAUUUUUUUAAUUUCAUGUUCAAAUCUAGUUAAAUUUUUUAAUUUGAAUAAAUUAAAUAUCUAACUCUUUUACUUCUUUCUCCUUAAACCCCUUCUUAGAAGUCAAACCAUUUUACUUUCCCAAAAAAAAUUAAUAGAAGUCAAACCAUUUUACUUUCUCUAAAAUAAUUAACUUCCUCAAACCCCAAAUUUUUUUUUCUUUUAUUUCUCUCAAAACUUUUACUUCUCCAAACUUCCAAAAAAAAUUCCAUUUGCUUUCCUCUAAAACUUUUAUUUUCUCUUAAACCCUAAAUUUUUUUUGAAUUUAAAUCUACUAUUUAUAUUAUUGAAUUAAAUUUCACAUUUUGUACUAUUUAUAUUAUUGAAUUAUUUAAUAAUAUUGAAUCUUUAUCAUUUUCUGUUAAAAUUGAAUUAUUGAUGAUGACAUAAAAUAUUCAGUUAAAAUUUUUAUUGGUAUCAAUUUCACAUUUUAUCUUUAAAAUAACUUUUAUUAAAAAAUCACAUUUUUUAUAUUUAAUAUUUUUUUAAUUUCAAAAUACAUGGUGAUAAGAAUCAGAAGAUACUUGAAGCAACUAAGCAAGUAAAGAAACUAACCUGUAUAUAAAAUAUUAAUAAAUAAAUUAUGAGGAAACGAAAGUUAAUAACAAAUUUAAUUACGGUGGGAAAAUUUGAUUAUGGUGAGUGACAGUGGUUACAAGGACUCAAAGUUAUUUUUUAGUUUAACUCGAACAAAUAUAUUCAAUUCAAUUCGAGAAAAUUUCAAAUCGAGUUAAGAUGAUAAAAUAAGAAUUGUCAAUUUGAUUAACUCGAAAUAUUUUCAUUCGAUUCGAUCGAAUACUCACCCCUAAUUUUAAUAAUUUUUUGUGAUAACUGUAUUUCUUUUAUUCCACAAGUAACCUUAAAAAAUUGACAUGUUUCCCUUUUUUCUUUAAUAUUUCAACCUUUAAUCCUCCUUGUGGUGUCUAAAAUCUCCACUUAUAUACCAAAUAUUUUCUUUUUUUAAUAUAAAUAGAAUUUUAAUGUUUUUAUUUUAUAUUAUAUAAGGUGAGUAUUUAGUUGCUUGUGGCAAUGUGCCAAAUAAUCUCUUAUAUAUGAACAUAGGUAGUCUUUUGGAUGAUUAUUUUGUACUCUCAUAUCACUACUUUUUUUUUUCAAUGAAUAACAGAUUGAAGUAAAACGAUUUAAACCUAUACCAAACAAGUAUCUAACAAUAACUUUAAUCACCACUCCAUUUAAGUUGAGAGUUAUCUCACUGCCUGAAUCAAUUCAAACAAAUAUUUUAUACUACUGUAAUAUUUGAUCUUAAUACUAUAUUAACUAAUCACACUGAGUCAAUUUUACCAUCAAAUAUACCCCUUAAAAUCAAAUAUUUGAAAAUAAACGAAAACACACAUAUAAAAGACUUAGCAAAUUGAUGUACUAAGUGAUUAAAAUAAACUCAAUUAUAUUUUGAACCUAUGUCCAUGCUAAAAAUUAAUUUUAUAUAAUUUUCAUGCAUUUUUUAAUUUUUUAAUUGAUUUUGUGUCAUUUUAUUUUGCAUAAGCCAUCAUAACAAUUUAAUUUAGAAAAUGAUAUAUAUGUUGAUGUUAUAUUAUGUCUACACUCAUCUCAUUUUAUAUAAAUUUUAAUAAUAUUCAAUUUAAGGAAAAAAAUUGUGGAUUCAUAUCGUGUUUUUGUUUUUUUUGUGUAUUUAAAUUGUUGUUCAAUUUUAUAAGCUUUUAUAUGUAAUUAAUUUGUCAUGUAAAUCUUGGCACAUUGAUGUGUUUGUACCAUUUUUGGUGUUUUUAAUAAAAUAAUGUUGAUUUUAUAUGAUUUAUUAGUUGAUCUAAUAUUUUAGAUAAUACAUAAUAAUAAUUUAAUUUUUAAUCUAGAUUCAUUUUUAUAAUUAAAUAAGAAUUAGGUAAAAUAUAUUAUCAUUCUCUCCAUCCCUUUUGUCAAUAGCCAUUCCUACAAAUAAAGAAAUUCUUGGCCUUUCUUACUUUAUUCUAGCAAAAUAAUAACAUAAUUAACUUCAGAGCUCAAAAUACCAUAAUUAGGUUGUCAGUAUCAAAAUCAAAUUCUGCAAAUUAACCCCUGUUCUUGGAUCUCUAGUAAUUCUCGAGGUGCGAUGUGUAAUAUGCAAAUUAACUUAAUCCCCAUCUAUUGAUGUUUUGUCAUCAUAAAUAAAAAAUAUUCCAUCCAUGUCGUCAAGUAUAGAAUCUCAAUUAAUCCAGCUCACGAGGUCUAAAGCUCACGGAGCGUGUCUCUGAAAACCAAAAUCACAUACUCAGAAUGAGCCCGCAAGCUGUAGUCUAUAACAAAACCAAAAUAGUUCACAUUUGCUCUUAAACAUUACUGGAAAAUAAAAAAGAUGGUAAGAUAUUGAUUUUCCGAAUAAAUUCAAUUAAAUUUUGACUUCCUAUUUCUUUAAAAUUUUAAUUAGAGAGACUCAAGUCCAAAAAUCAAAAUCCAGUGUCGGUCCAACUUUCAGGCCAAAUUGAAGUCCAAAUCUGUACGAGUCAAUAGCAAAAUCCUAGGCAAGGGCCUGAAAUUAAAAGUCCAAAAUCAUGUACAAGGUCCGGUUAACAUGUUACAAAGGGCAAGUUCUACGACAAUUUCACUGUUUGGAAUUAGGUUUCCAUUGCUGCCUCCGCUUCUCAUUGCAUAGGAAAUUGUUUUCUUAAAAUGAAUCUUAAUUUUAAUUAUUAUUUUUUCCAGAAAAGGAAGAGCACCAAAUAGAGAUCACAAUCGGGAUAUGGAAAGGCACACAAGAAAUCAGAGAAUAUACACACAAAAAUUACCAAAAUGCACUCUGUGUUGUCACAAAGCUUAUUCCUGCAAAAAUUAGACAAAACAACCCAAGUAUCCAACAGCGCGGAAAAUACAAGAUAUUCAUCAGUUUAACCAAAUAAUACUUUCAAAGGUUCGGUUUUUAUGUUGGCAUGAUGUUCUUAAAACCAAAUAAAACCUAAAGUUUAACCAAAACAUUUCAAAUACGAAAAACAAAGUUGGAGAAGAGAACUUAACCAUAUGGUGUUUCAGCAGGUAUUAAAACCUUCGCAACGAAGAGGGCUUUGAACCUCAUAUUUUCGAUGGACUCGUGGAAGAGAAGGGCUUUUCUUUAGGUGCUUUCAAAGAGGAUGAAAUAAUGUUUUGAAGGGUUUUUUUUUUAAGUGCUUUCAAAGAGGAUGAAAUCAUGUUUUAUUUUACGCAUUUCACGGAGCAAGAGAAUAAGUUUUCUUUGGUAGCCAUGGGGAAGAUGGGAGGUUAGGAAGAUCGGCUGCGAGACAGUUGAGAGAAAAUGCAAGAGGCACCUCAUGACAGUAUUGAGAAUGAACGGGAACCCUAUGCUUUUAUAAUUAGGUUAGUAUGAGGAUAUGGGAAAAUUCCAACACAAAUCUGCGAGUUUUAUCCCGCAUUCAUUUAGGUCUCUCAUUCGGGUUUUUUUUUUUUUUUCGUUUUUAUUAUUUUCACACAACUACGAACUCACACACAUGUGCUCGGGCAGGAGGUCAGAUAUUUGCGUUUUUUUUUAUCCAAAUUUUAAUUCGCAUUUAUCUAAAAAUUUGAAUUUCUAAAUUACACAAGUAUUUCUUUCCAAAUGUGAAUCUAUAUUAAAUAUUGUUAUCACUCUAAUAUCUGAAUUUACAAAAAAAAAUUAAAUUUAGUAUUUUCAAUUAUAUGUUGGAUAUCUUAAUAUGUAAAAAUUCAAAUCUAAAUAUGUGAAAUAAUAUAAAAUUGAACAAAAAACUAAUUUUAAAUAUUUUUUUCAUAAUUAACAAUAGAUAAAUGAAAAAUAAAAAAUAGUUAAAUAGCAAUCUAAUCAAAUUAAAUAUAGGGAUUUCACAACAAGAUAAAUAUACUUAACCUAAACAUACAAAUUCCAAAAAAAAAAUAUAAGUUACAUAAUAAUUUGUGAAAAAUCUGAAUUUAACAUUUCCAACCAUAUAUCAAAUAUCCUAAAAAAAUCCAAAUAUGAAUCAAACAAAAGUAGUUUUAAAUAAAAUUUAUUUAUAAUUAACAAUAAAUAAAUACAAACUAAAUUAAACAUAACAAUUUCACAACAAUUUAAAUAUACCUAACAACUGUCGAUUGAGUUUUAGCUCGAUUGGCAUGGGCAUUAUUGCCAAUGCAGGAGGACGUGGGUUUGAGUGCUGUGAAACACAUUAUCUUCCUAUUUAUGGGUUAGGGAGGGGCUAUGGAUAGUUCUAAGCAUUGUGUUAAAAAGAACAUAUAUGAUUAGAACUAUUGAGAUUAUUUGAAAUAUAUAUACCUAACAACUUAAACAUAAUAAUUUCAAACAAAUUAAGAGAUGCAUAACAAUCCCAAAUAAUUUAACCCUAUUUAUAUAAUUCUAAUUGUAUAUAUUAUAAUAUACCAUAAAGUUAGUUGUCUCUUAAAGAAGAAUAUUAAUAUAAAGAGAUCGUCAACAAGGGCGUUCUAGUGUGUUGUAGAUUCUUAUCCAAGACUUGUAUCAUUUGAUGAUGCCAUGUGAAUCUCUAGAAACAUGUGAAGUGUAUGGUCCAAUAUUGAAAUAAUUUUAUAGGUUUUCCCUGACUUUGUUCGUGUCAAAAAACAAUUCGAAAUGCCUCGACUCUUUUAGAAGAGGUUUGGGUCAAAUAACAAUGAUUCGAAGUACUUUUUUUUUACACUAUUUCGGAAACCCAAGGACUUAAUCGUAUGGAUAUGUAAAAUACAGGAUUUCCAGUCCUAGUAGGAAAGGGAAGGAAACGGAUACUCAAUUUAAAGUGAGUAAACAGAAUUCCAUUCUCGAUCUCAUAGAUACAUAUGAAAUUCUAUGGAAAACCGUAUACGAUGAAAGUCGUAUGUACGGUUUGGAGGGAGAUCUUUCAUAUCUUUCAAGAUCCACCCUACAAUAUGGGGUCAAAAAGCCAAAAUAAAUUAUUUUAGCCCUUAUAAAAAGAAAAUGGAUUCUUGAACCCUUUCACGCUCAUAUCACAUCAAGGUACUACAGAAGAAAAAACUGCAAAAUUUGAUCCAAUUUAUCGUAAUCGAUUAGUUAACAUAUUGGUUAACCGUAUUCUGAAUCGCUAGAAACAUGUGAAGUGUAUGGUCCAAUAUUGAAAUAAUUUUAAAGGUUUUCCCUGACUUUGUUCGUGUCAAAAAACAAUUUGAAAUGCCUUGACUCUUUUAGAAGAGGUUUGGGUCAAAUAGCAAUGAUUCGAAGCACUUUUUUUUACACUAUUUCGAAAACCCAAGGACUCAAUCGUAUGGAUACGUAAAAUACAUGAUUUCCAGUCCUAGCAGGAAAGGGAAGGAAACGGAUACUCAAUUUAAAGUGAGUAAACAAAAUUCCAUUCUCGAUCUCAUAGAUACAUAUAAAAUUCUGUGGAAAACCGUAUUCGAUGAAAGUCGUAUGUACAGUUUGGAGGGAGAUCUUUCAAAUCUUUCAAGAUCCACCCUACAAUAUGGGGUCAAAAAGCCAAAAUAAAUUAUUUUAGCCUUAUAAAAGGAAAAUGGAUUCUUGAACCCUUUCACGCUCAUGUCACGUCAAGGUACUGUAGAAGAAAAAACUGCAAAAUCUAAUCCAAUUGAUCAUAAUCGAUUAGAUAACAUAAUGGUUAAUCGUAUUAUGAAACACGAAAAAAAAUCAUUGGCUUAUCAAAUUGCCUAUCGAGCCUUGAAAAAGAUUCAACAAAAGAUAGAAACAAAUACACUAUCUAUUUUACGUCAAGCAAUACGUGGAGUAACUCCCGAUAUAGUAGUAAAAGCAAGACGUGUAGGCGGAUCAACUCAUCAAGUUCCCAUUGAAAUAGGAUCCACACAAGGAAAAGCACUUGCCAUUCGUUGGUUAUUAGGGGCAUCCUGAAAACGUCUGGGUCGAAAUAUGGCUUUCAAAUUAAGUUCUGAAUUAGUGGAUGCUGCUAAAGGGAGUGGCGAUGCCAUACGCAAAAAGAAAGAGACUCAUAGAAUGGUAGAGGCAAAUAGAGCUUUUGCAUGAUUUCUUAUGGGCAUAAGCAUCCCAAUUAAUUCAGUCUUAUGGUUCUUCAUUAUCUGCAUAUGGCUUUCUUUUCUUAGGUGCUCAUUUUGUAUGGGCUUUUAGUUUAAUGUUUCUAUUCAGCGGACGUGGUUAUUGGCAAGAACUUAUUGAACCCAUUGUUCGGGCUCAUAAUAAAUUAAAAGUUACUCUUGCUACUCAGCCUAAAGCCUUGAGCAUUGUAUAAGGACGUGCUAUAGGGGUAACCCUUUACCUUCUAGGUGGAAUUGCCACAACAUGGGCAUUCUUCUUAGCAAGAAUUAUUGCAGUAGAAUAAUGGCUAGGCUAAAUACUACUGGGUGAUCGAUAGCGAAGUAGUAUCGUGAGGGAAGGGUGAAAAGAACCCUCGUCGGGGAGUGAAAUAGAACAUGAAACCGUAAGCUCCCAAGCAGUGGGAAGAGCCUAGGGCUCUGACCGCGUGCCUGUUGAAGAAUGAGCCGGCGACUCAUAGGUAGUGGCUUGGUUAAGUGAACCCACCUGAGUCGUAGCGAAAACGAGUCUUCAUAGGGCAAUUGUCACUACUUAUGGACCCAAACCAGGGUGAUCUAUCUAUGACCAGUAUGAAGCUUGGGUGAAACUUAUGAUUAGAACUUUUGAGAUUUUUUAAAAUAUAUAUACCAAACAACUUAAACAUAAUAAUUUCAAACAAAUUAAUAGAUAUAUAACAAUCCCAAAAAAUUUAACCCUAUUUAUAUAAUUCUAAUUGUAUAUAUUAUAAUAUACCAUAAAGUUAGUUGUCUUUUAAAGAAGAAUAUUAAUAUAAAGAGAGUAACGAAAUAGAAACAAUAGAAAAUGGGUAGGAAUACAAACUAACCCUAAGUCGAUAGGCUUACCCCAUACGCUCGAUCCUAACAUUUGUCCUAAACCUAGUGUCAAUAUGAACAUAAUCAGAAAGCAAAGUAAAACCUAAACAAGGGGGCACAAAGUUCCAAGUAACAUGAUGAGCAUGCAACAAAACUGCUCGAGCCAAAAAGUGGCCUUGUUUACAUUUCAUCGAAUUCAUCGAAAGGACACAUCAGUAAACUAAUUUUUCAAUACAAGCCAAUAAUUCAAUUUCAUACCAAAUUCUAAUAUACUAGUCAAACGACUAACCAAAUCUCUAUAAACUCAUCGAUUAUCAAGCUUGAAAAUAACCUUAUCUAUAUUCGCCUCUUUGAUCCAGUAGUGUCAUUGCCAUAUUUACCAGACAAGCAAUCUUCUAUAAAACUAGCAACAGUGAAAAUUUCUACAUUAAAGCCUAGUGAAUCCUACACCUUAGUAGCUUUGGGGCAAAAGAACAAUACAUGAUCCAAUGUUUUUAGCUUGCAACACAAGCAGCGAUAAUCAAUUUAAGCUUAAUAUACACCAAGGGGGUGAAUUGAUGUUUUAAAAACUUAAAGUAAAGAUGGCAAUCAAAGAGGACUCAAGAAUUUAUAGUGGUUCGACCCUAAUUGUCUACUUCCACUACCUUAGCUUACCACAACUAAGGAUUUCCAAGAUUCACUCAUUUGAACCUUUUAAGGACAAGGUAAAGGAAAAAUAAGGCCUAUCACACCUGAAUUCCUUUAAACUCAGAAAUUUAGAACAUUUAGGGGUUAAAUCAAAAGAGACGACAAACUGUUUAUGUUAAUUGAAAAAUUAGGAAAAGAUAGAAACAAAAUGUAGCAUGGUUGGAAUCUAAAUCUAAAUCAGUAGAAUUAGAACCAUCAAGUUCCAUAGUGGGGGACAAAAUGAUUAUGAAUGGGUGGAUGUUGCAGGGUUGGGGAUCGUGCGAGAAGGGCUAUAAAUAGCUAAGAAAUGACUUCCCCCAGUCUAUUUUGUUUUUCUUCUUCAACUUCUUCCUUAGAAGCUCUUGGAGGAGAUGUAUACGAGGAAGCUCCGCAUGGAGUGAUAAUCGAGAGGUUUAAUCUGGAAAAGUAGAGAAACUAGUAAGCUGGUAAGGUUUUGAGCCCUUCGGUGUACGUAAGACUUAGAAAAAUAAAGUUAAGAGUUUCUCGAAACCAUUUUAAGGAUUCUACAUGUUUUUGGAAAAAUUAAGUUUUAAAUUGGGAUUACCAAGUUUAACCCAUGAAUUGAUUAUCUUGCUUAGCUGCUAACAGAACAGAAGCUUUGGCAUUUGGAAAAGCUAAGUAGGCAAUGCGAAGAAGCAUGAGGUGAGUUUCUACGUUCCAACCCUAGAAAGGCUAAGCAUGUUUAAGAGCAUAUAGGUAUAUGAGUAUCUUCCAUUUUAGUUUAGUUGGCAUAAUUCGUGAUAAUCUAUCAAAUAAAAUGCAUGAGAUGCAUGUGAAUAAUGGUAGUGUGAAAAAGGGUUUAGAAGAAGUUAAGAAUAGGAAAAGGGAUGAUUCUGUUAGAUACUGUCAUACAGUAUUAUUGAGUAAAAGUGUUGAUGUGCGAAGCUCCGGUCCUUGCGGAGGGGAUGUUGCGGUGUUUGGGCAUUAAUGUUAAGAAUAGUGAAUUGGAGGAAUGGAAGGAAUGUGAUGGGAAGAGUAUAUAAGAAAGAUCAUGGUGAGGCCAUGGGACCGAUCGAAGGCUAUUCGUCUAAGAAUGAGUAAGACCAUAGCUGAAAGAUACUAUGGCAUCAUGAUAAAAAUGAGUAAGAACAUAGUUGAAAGAUGCUAUGGCAUCAUGACAGAAAUGAGUAAGACCAUGGCUGAAAAACACCAUGACAUCAUGAUAAACAUGACUAAUGUAACGCCCUCAACCCGAUCUGAUUCACCGGAUCCGAACCUCGAGUGUUACAACACAAAUACAAACUUAUGCUUAAAUAUUCAUAUAUUAUUUUCAUAAUUAUUAUAAACUAAUUAAAUAAUCUCCCAACCAAAGUUUCAAUUGAAUAUACAUUGGACAAUUACUAUCAUCAUACAAGAAUUUCCAUUAUAAAGACUUUCAGGCUAACCUCAAAACUUAAUUACAUUAUCUCAAGUGUAAACCUUAAGGAAUACUUUUAACUAGAUUUAUGCUACCAACACGGUAUGUAUGCAUAAUAGCCUACCCUAUAAUUUCUUUAGCGUAGCCCUAGCAUUGUCCCUCUUGGCAUAGACCAAUGUAAAAUUACCUGUAACAUAAAACACAGGGGUAAAUUCAUGAGAACUUAGUGAGAUAAACAAGCAUUUACUUGAAUCAUUUUUGUAUUUCGCAUAUGGUAAUUCAAUUCGCCAUCUCAUUGUUCAUUAUUGUUCAACUUGUCUCUAGCGAAUGCCUUCUCAGAAUGUCAUUAUUUGUACCAUAGAUGUCAACCCUAACUCUGAAGUCAAGCCUACUUUCCACAUCUUUGAUAUGUUACUCACGUUCUUCACUCCGCACUUUUGUAAUUCCUUAACCAUACCCAUUCCAGAGGCCCAUACAGACAAAAUAUUGUUAUUCUUACAUACAUACUCCAAGCCAUCGAUUCUUCGAAAUCCAUGAGUGAUUUUGUACAUAGAUGAAAGAUACAUUAUUUAAUUAUAUAUUUGAUCCUUUCUGGAGAAUACUCAUUUUUCUUCUAAUAAUUACAAACAUAUAAUCUUAUUCAACUUACCAGACAUAGCCCUAACUCAAAGUUGUUCUUUAAGUAUAAUUAACCCAUACUUUGAUUCGCCACAUGCUUUGGCGCAUUCUAGUUUCUCUGUUCUUGUCUUAAGAUUAUGCAGGAUAUACCAUAACAUUUCAUAUGAAGCUCGCCACAAAGGAAGCUAAGUAAAAUAUCUCAUUGAAGGUGUAACAUGAUACGCCACAGGGGUUUUUCCUUCUAAGUUCAUUACAACUAUCGUCUCUUCAGAGUUUGCCAUGAAUGCCAUUUCUUUGAAUGUUUUCUUUGGAUGUUUACCACAGAGACAUUUUCUUUGGAUGGUUGCCACAAAGGACAUUAUUUAGAGUACACCAUAAAGGUUUUUUUUUCGUAGAUAACCAUAAAGGCUUCCUUUUUUGUAGAUCGCCACAAAGCCUUUAUUUUUCAUAGAUCACCACAAAGACUUCUUUUUUCUGGCAUGUUUACAAUAGGGAUUCGCCUAAACUCACAUUUCGUGAGGUUUUCCCCUCAUCGUCCUGGGUCAUGCAGAGAACCCCCUUUUGGGUAAUCACCUUCCUUUAGUUCUUUUCCAUAUGAUGCCAUAGCCCAACUAUGGUCUUACACAAUAUCAUGCCAUGGCCAUAGACUUUCCUUUUAGAGAUUCAUAUUAGAGAUCAUGUUUUUAGUCCCGACGGACCCCUUUAGACGCUACCGUAGUGACCAGACAUAGACUCACUUGAUAGACUUUUCAAGUAUUGACACCCUUUUAGACUCAUUACUUUGAUUCAUCAUCAUAACCUGACUAACACAUACAUCUUAGCACGUGUUUGCAGACAUAAUCAUUCAACCAUACUUUAACUUCAAGGUUCAUAUCACAAAUUGAAACUUGUUAGCUUUCACACUAACUAUUCAUGCAAACUCAUCAAACAUUCAUAUCACACCAUAAUCAUCAUACUAUAUUUUCCUAGUUUUAGAUUCGUAGUUUGAUCACUUUUUAUAGAGACGUCUUGAAUACACAGAAUACAUGCAUGAGUCAACUUAGAGUGUCAUGCCCUAUAAAUUAUUUAUUGUUCGUGCUAGUUUAAGACACAAGGAGUAAAAUAUCCAAGUGGUUAAGUGUGUGAAUUAAUUCCUAGUGGUCUUAGGUUCAAGCCCCCAUAAUGUAACACCCCUAACCCAUAUCCGUCGUCAGAAUAGGGUUAUAGAGCGUUAUCGUAAAAAUAUAACUUAAAAUCAAUAAUUUCUAAACAUUUCAUAAUCAUAGCAAAAUCCAUUCAAAUAUAUGUUUAACGUCCCUUACUCGAGCCCUCGAAGCCUUGGAAACACUUUAGAAUCGAUUCGGGAGUAAAUCAGAAACAUUUAGAAUUUUAUCGAAAAAGAUGAAAAAUUUCACACUGCAGGGGUCACACGGCUGUGUGGACAUUCAAAAUAGGGACACACGACCAUGUCUCAGCCCAUAUAACUCUUUCACUUGGGUCACACGACCAAUCAACACGUCCGUGUGCCAUGCUGUGUAAAUCUUGAAAUGGCCUCACACACCCUAUGCCAAGCCGUGUGCUAGGCCGUGUAACUGCCUCACUUGCAACCCUUUAAAACCUAUAGUGGACACACGGCCGUGUCUCAAGGCUGUGUGUCACACACAGCUGAGACACACGCCCGUGUCUUAGGUCGUGUGGACAAGAAAUAGGCCAAUUUCAAGCCAUUUCUUUCACCGAAUUCAAGCUCACACCUACAAGCCAUUUGCACAUACAAUCAAGCUUUAAAAACAUACCUAAAACAUGCAUAAUAGGUCUAAUUCAAUAUGGUAUCUAUCCAUAAAACCAAUAUGCGAAAAAGCACCUCAAUCACAAAUCAUCAAAUCAACCUAAACAUAAAUAUACUAUCCAUGAAUCAACCAUACAUAACUACCUAUUUCCAUACCAAAUCAUACCACAAUAACCAUAUGCCAAACCACACUCAAGCAUACCAAAUUGUUCAUUCAAAAAUAUCAUUACUUGACCAUGUCAACAUUAACCAUCAAAGUAUUAAAAUGCUAAAAGUUCAUCAACCAUAAUAACACAUUUACAAGCCAAACAUAAUGACUAUCUUAUCAAGCACAAUUCAACUAUACAUGCCAUUAUAACCAUGACUCAAAACAUCGAAAUCUACUGAAACAGUCGCUGGAUAGUGUGAUAGGUCUCUAAUGAGCUUCCAAACUGAUCGAGCUUCUAAUUAUCUAUAAAACAUGGGAAAUGAGACUAUGUAAGCAUAUAAUUCUUAGUAAGUUCGUAUAACAUAAAACAUAACUUAUCAUUUCAUUAUAUAAAAUUUAACAUGAUAUAAUCCAACCUUUAGCUUGGCACAAACCUAAGCACCAACACAAACAUGUUAGCAUACUUAAACAUAAUUCAUAUGAAUUUAACAUGGAUAACCAUUAUUCUUGAACUUGAUUCAAUUGGAUUUGUCAUCCAUCAUAACAUAACAUGUUUUUCAUGUAGCUCCCUAUUUCAAUGCAUUUCAUACAUACAUGUCUUGGUUCAUAUUGAACACUUACCAUUUACUUUCAAAUUCAUGCCCGUUGAACUGUUUAGAAUAUCAUCGGAUACGUGGGAUAGCUCACACGAAGUGUGCCAAAGAUAUAAUCAUAACAUUUCCUUUCUUUUACAUCGUUGCUCACACGAGCUGUGAAAUAGGCCUGCUCACAAGAGCCGUGGGUUAGAAUGUAAGCUACAUGAUGCUGCUCACACGAGCUGUGGAGUAUCCGCAACACAUACCGAACCUCAACCAUCGAUAGGACAUUUAAGACCAGCACCCAAAACAUGGAAACCUUAAUGACAUGCCAUUUGUAUCAUACGAAUUCCUAAGGUUCAAACAAGGCUCAAUAAUCUUCGUACGUCGUUGGAUUUCCAUUAAUUAUUUACAUAGCAAUCCACAAUUUACAUAUAUUUAAAACAUUACAUAAUUACACAAACUUACCUCAGCAAUAAAGGCAUAAAAACAGAGUCGACUAAUCCGAAGCUUUAUCUUUACCGCGAUCUAAAGCCGUACAAGGUCUAUCUUGAUCUAAAUAAAUAAAUUCAAUCUAUUUAAUAUCCAUUCUAUUCAAUUAAUCCAAAAUUCAUAUUUUUUGCAAAAUAACGCUUUUGCCCCUAUUAUUUUGAUUUCAUUACAAUUUACUCCUUAAGCUCGUAAAUUGAAAUUCAUACAAUUUCAUCCCUACCCAAGCUAGCCGAAUUCAAUAUAGGUCCAUAGCAACUCAUACAAUUCAUUAUUUUACAAUUUUCACCAUGUAUUUUACACAUUUUACAAAUAAAUCCCUAUUUGACAUUUUUAACAAAAUUCACUUUACAAAAUUUUUUUAUUUAUCAACAAAGAUUCAUUUUCUUCUAUCAAACAUAAAAAAUCACAUGCACACAUUCAUGGAAAAACUAACCUUUUAAAAUUUUUUCAAAUUAGUCCCUGGGCUAGUUAGAUUAAGCUACAAUGACGUCAAAAACAUAUAAAUCAUUAUUUGUACUUACAUGCAAGAGGGAGAGAUGCCAAAUGCUUGAAGUGUUAACAAUGGUGUUUUCUUAGGUCAAAUUUCAGUGGAAGAUGAAAAACAAAGAUGAUAGCUUUUGUUUUCAUUAAUUUACUAACAUUUAUUUUUUAAAUUACUUAUUUAAACUUAUUAUUAAUAUAUAAAAACACCUAUUUAGUGUCCAUAUUUGUCCACUCAUACUAAAAAUGGUAUAAUUACCACAUAAAUCCCUUAAGCAUUUAAUUUCAUAGUCAUUUGGUACUUUUAACUUAUAGAACUCUAAUUUUGCAUCUUUUAUGAUUUAGUCCUUUUCACCAAAUUAAACAUGCAAACGAUAAAAUUUCUUAAUGAAAUUGUUUUACGACCUUGCUAGUAUCUCGUAGACAUUAAAUAAUAAUAAAAUAAAUAUUCACACAUUGAAUUUGUGGUCCCAAAACCACUAUUCUGAUUUCACUAAAAACGGACUGUUACAACUCUCCUCCCUAAAGGAAUUUUCGUCCCUGAAAAUCUUAAUAGUAAAGAGGUUUUGGUAUUGCUCUUUCAUAGCUUUUUUCGGUUCCCAUGUGGCUUCUUCUAAACCGUGUUGUUGCCAAAGAACUUUCACUAAAACUAUUCUUUUAUUUAUCAAUUCUUUAACCUCUCGAGCUAAAAUUCUGGUCGAUUUUUCACUGUACGACAUACCAAGCUGAAUCUCGACAUCAUGUGGGAUAACAUGUGAAGGGUCUGAUCUAUAUCAUCGUAACAUAGAUAUGUGAAACAUAUUAUGGAUAUUUUCUAACUCUGACGACAAAGCUAAUCUAUAAGGUAUUGGCCCAAUUCUUUCAGUAAUCUCAUACGGCCCGAUAAAACACAGACUAAGCUUUCCUUUACGACCAAAUCGUAGGACUUUCUUUCAGGGCGAGACUUUCAAGAACACUUUAUUGUCGACUUGAAAUUCAAUGUCUUUACGUUUUAAAUCCACAUAUGAUUUCUGUCGAUUUGAAGCUACUUUCAAACUAUCUCGAAUAACCUUCACUUUUUCUUCGGUUUCUCGUAUCAAAUCAACCCCAUGAAGCCUUUUCUCACUGAGCUUAGUCUAAUACAAUGGAGUUCAAAACUUUUGACCAUACAAAGCUUCGUACGGUGCAAUCUUUAUACUCGAUUGAUAAUUGUUGUUGUACGCGAAUUUCACUAACGGUAGAAAUUUCUCCCAGUUGCCUUCGAACUUUAAACAGAACAUCAAAGUAUGUCUUCGAGCAUCUGAAUCACUCACUCGGAUUGACCAUCUGUCCGAGGAUGAAAUGUUGUACUAAAAUACAAACAAGUACCUUGAGCUUCAUGUAACUUACUCCAGAAUCGUGAUGUAAACCGCAGAUCUCUAUAAAAAUAAUAGAAACUGGUACCCUAUGCAAUCUUACAAUUUCAAUGACAUAUAACUAAGCUAAUCUCUCAAGAAAGUAAUCAAUAUGUAAUGGGACAAAAUGUGUAGACUUCGUUAGACGAUCUACGAUAACCCAAAUUGCAUCUUUCUUUCUAGAAGACAAAGGUAAUACUGAUAAAAAUCCAUCGUGACGUGCUCUCAUUUCCACUCCGGAAUCAUCAUUGGCUGUAAUAGACCAGAAGGUACCUAAUGUUCAGCUUUAACUUACCGACAUACUAAAAUUCUCGAUACGAAUUCAGAAAUCUCUCGUUUCAUACCCGACCACCAGUACAUUUGCUUCAAAUAACUAUAUAUCUUAUUGCUACCAGGAUAAAUAGAAAAAUUACUAUUAUGAGCUUUAAGGAAAAUCUUCUAAACAAGAUCUGAAUUUCUCAGAACGCAUAGUCUACUUUUGAAGUAUAAACUAUCAUCGGAUCUAAUAUGAAAAUCUAAAUUAGGAUUUGAUUCAAUUCGUUUCCGUUUAGCUAUUAAUACAUCAUCGCACUUCUAAGCUUCGUAAAUCUGUUGUAAAAACAUCAUUCUAGCUUUCAACUUAGCUAAGAUCGAACCAUCAUCAGACAACGUCAAUUGCGUAUUCAACACUUUUAAAGUAAACAAAGACUUUCUACUCAAAGCAUCAGCAACUACAUUAGCUUUUCCCGGAUGAUAAUCAAUGAUCAAAUCAUAAUCUUUUAAUAACUCAAGCCAUCUGCGCUGUCUCAAAUUUAAAUCUUUCUUCAACAUUAAAUAAUUUAAGCUUUUAUGAUCUGUGAAUAUAUGACAUUUUUCGUUGUACAAAUGGUGUCGCGAAAUCUUCAAAGCAAACACAAUCAUUGUAAGCUCUAAAUCACGCGUCGGAUAAUUCUUUUUGUGCAACUUUAAUUAUCUAGAAGCAUACUCUAUCACUUUGCCUUCCUGCAUCAAAACACAGCCUAAACCAUUUAAAGAUGCAUCACUAUAAAUCACGAAUUCUUUACCCAAUUCUAGCUGAACUAACACCGGUACCUCGGUUAACAAUGCUUUUACUUGAUCAAAGCUUUGCUAACAAUUUUUAGGCCACUCGAACUUAACAUCUUUCUGCAAUAAUCUCGUCAUUAGUGUAGCAAUAAUCGAGAAUCCCUUAAUGAACCUUCUGUAAUAUCCAGCUAAUCCCAUAAAACUUCUAACCUCAAAUACAUUUCUUGAAAGCUUCUAAUCAACAACUGCAGAAAUUUUACUCGGAUCAACUUUGAUGCUUUCAAUUGAUACAACAUGUCCCAGAAAUCUGACUUCCUAAAGCCAGAAUUUGCAUUUGCUAAACUUAGUGAAUAAUUGAUUUUCACGUAACGUUUGCAAAUCAAUUCUCAACUGCUUGGCAUACUCUAUUUCAUCUCGUGAAUAAAUCAAGAUAUCAUCAAUGAAUACCACAAUGAAUCUGUCUAAAUACGGUCUGAAAAUUUUGUUCAUCAUAUCCAUAAAUACUGCAGAUGUAUUAGUCAAAACAAACGACAUCACAAGAAAUUCAUAAUGUCCAUACCUGGUCCUGAAUUGCAGUUUUUGGCAAAUUUGAAUCUUUAAGUCACAACUGAUAGUAACUAGAACGAAGAUCAAUCUUCGAAAAUACUGUUGCACCUUUCAAUUUAUUAAACAAAUCAUUAAUACGCGGUAACAGAUACUUGUUCUCCAUCGUGACUUUGUUGAGCUGGCGAUAGUCAAUACAUAAUUGCAUAGAUUCGUCCUUUUUCUUAACAAAUAGAAUGUGUGCACCCCAAUGAGAAAAACUAGAUCGAGCAAAACCUCUAUCUGACAACUCUUGCAACUGCGCUUUCAAUUCUUUCAAUUCUGUAGGUGCCAUUCUAUAAGGAGCUAUCGAUAUCGGAAAUGUUCCUAGUACUAACUCAAUAGCAAACUCAACCUCUCUGAUUGGUGAUAACCCAGAUAACCCCUUUGGAAACACAUCAAUACUUAUAUACCACUGGAACCGAUUCUAGCUUCAACGCAUCACAGCCUUUACUAACAUACCUCUGUGCUGACAUAGCUGAAAUCACAUUGGACAUAUUAUCCAGUCUAUCUGAUUCAAUCUAAAGCUUUUCACCAUUCUGACACUUUAGCACAAUAAGCUUUCAUCUACAGUUUACAACAGUAUCAUGAAUAGUUAGCCAAUCCUUACCCAAAAUCACAUCAAACUCAUCAAAAGGAAACAGUAUCAAAUCGGCUGGAAAGUUACAACCCUAAAUCAUUAAAGCACAAUUUUUACAAACUUUAUCAACUAGCAUGUACUGACCUAGGAGGUUCGUUACUUUAAUCACAAAUUCAAUGGACUCAACAGGUAAAUUCUUACUUGACACUGAUUCAUGCAUACAUACGAAUGUGUUGAUCUCGGAUCAAUCAAAGUAGUAACAUCAGCAUCAAAGAAAGAAAAUGUACCAGUAAUAACAUCUGGUGCUGAAGCUUCCUCUUGUGCACGGAUAGUGUAGGCUUUAGCCAGUACUCAUGCCUCGGAUCUCACAGUAGAGUCUUUUGUUCCAGUACGACUAUUGCUCGUAUUUAUAGGGUUUCGAGGUGGUCUACCUCUCACGACAGUGUUGCUCAGUCGAACAGUCUAAAACUCUUCUUUCUCUGACCUCUCUAAGCAGCCUUUGAGACAAUGCUCAAACAAACCACAUCUAAAACAUGACCCAUUUUUCAAUCUGCACUCACCAAAGUGUCAUCUAGUACAUUGUUGACAAUCAGGCCAGUUGCCCCUGACACUACCUACACUCGCUACAGACGUAGCUUGAGGUUUUGGACUCGCAUGCUGUUUACCUCUAUCCCUACUGGAAUAUUCCACUAAAGUUGUCAAACAGUUAUGAUGUUCUUUCGAUUUAUUCGGUGAUGACUGAUAUGACUUUCCAGUUUAUCUCUUUCUCAAUUCUCUAGCUUCACAAUAAACUUUUCUUUUCUUUGCUAAGCUCUUUGGCUUUAUGCGCUCGAUCAACUAAAAUGAAAAAUUCUUUCAAUUCAAGUAUCUCAACUAAAAGCUUUAUGUCUUCAUUUAACCCAUUUUUAAACCGUUUAUGUUAGAGUAUGCCCAAAGAUCAAUCAUGAGAUGGUUGUAAUAACAUACUUGAUUUAUCAUGUUUAUUAAUAUAAGGCAUUACCAUUAUUAUUUCAGUUUCUUUUCUGUGUGUAUAAAUAAACUUUUUUAUAAUAAUGUCCUGAGAAUAAUAUGAUUAUUCUUAAAUUUCAUUAGUCAAGUAUUAUUGUUGGAUAGGACAACAAUAAUGAAUUAAGACUAACAUGUAGUUGAUUGAUGAUAAAGAGUUGUCAUUGAUAUGGAAUGUCAGAAUCGAUGCAUGAAUAUGUGUGUUAGAGAACAACAUAUUGGACUGACCCGUUAUGAGUAUGUUUCUUAGAUUAUUAUGUAAUUGUCACGACAUUACUCAUAGUGAUUAAUAUGUAUAUGAUCCUCAGACUUGAGAUCAUCAUAAUCCCAACAUCGUGAGUUGUAUAUUUUGAUACAGUCAAAUGUACACCGUAACUGGGUGUUUUAUAAAGGCUGAUGUUGGAUAUACCACAAUCUAUGUAGAGGGAUAUGGUUGGUUGAUAUAGGAUAAGUCCCUCCUACAUAAUGGGAGUAAUAUCUGAUGCCACUUGAUUGAGUGAGACUAGAAAUGUAUGGCCAUGCUCAAAUAAGCUAAUAUGUGAUGUCAUACUUAUUUGUAUAUCAUAGUCUACUUAAGAUAUCAAGGAACAUGGAAUGGAUUAUACAAGUGUGACUAUUCCAUGACUUGUGUUCAAUCCAGAGAUAAAGGACUUAAGGAUUAUGAAAAGAUUAAUCUUAAAAAUGUUAUGUCGAAUCAUGAUUUCUUGUGACUUAGGUAGCAAUGAUGCAUUGCUAGGUGCCACUCAUUGUUUGUAACGUUGGAAUUGUUUCAACAUUACUGCUAACGUUACAAGAACCUACAGGGUCACACCUUAUAGUUGAAAUGAACGGAAUAAAACAUAAUUGGUAUUGUGUUUGGUUGUCGCAUGAAUUAAAUUAAUUAUAGAAUUAAUUUAAUUGGGUAGUCAAAUAUCGAACAAAUUAUAUGUACAAGGUUGUCGUACACAUAAUGAGAAUAUGAUUUUGGUUCGUAUAUAAAUAAAUAUAGUUUACCGAAAUCUUGAUUAUAAUUAAUGUAAUUAUAAUUUUCGGCUUUUAAGUAUUAUUAUAUUUAUUUAUUUAAUUUUGAGAAACCUUAAAAAAUUUAAUAAGAUAUAAAAUCUCGUUUUCUUUGCUUGGUGGGUUUAGCAUCCGUCAAAGCAAAGUCCUUUCCAAAACUGCUUGAGGAUUCCUUCCGUUCAUAGUCAACUGGGUGGAUUACGUAGAGGUCGGAGUCAUCAAAGAUUGUAACUUGGUUCGAGAGUAGAUCAAAUUACUCAUUGCUGAGGUGUCGCUGUCUACUCAGAAUCAAAUUCGGUAAUUUCGAAACCCUUUUUCACCCCGUUUCGUUCCUCACACUUGAAUCCAUGAUUAGGAUCGCCAGGUGUUUUAUUUUUCUGCUACACCGUAGAGGUGCCGGCGUUCCAACAGUUUACACAUGGCAACUUUAGUUGGGAAACACUCUCGGGCAUACUUACUCAGUCUAACAAAUUCCCUCUCAUACUCGAGCACUGUUAUUCGACCUUGUUUAAGCUCAAGAAACUCUUUGUAUUUCUGGUCAAGAAAUAUUUGCCUUAUAUACUUUUUUUGGAAUUCGGUUUGAAAUAAUUCCCAAUCUAUAUGCUCUCUCAGUACCACUGAAACCAAAUUAUUCCACCACUAAUAAGCUGAGUCUGUCAGUAAAGAUACAUCACAUUUUACGCACUCUAUUAAUGUACAAGACAACUCAUCAAAAACCCUGAUAAUAUUUUCUAACCAGAACUCGACUCUCUCUGGGUCAUCUUCAGCUGUAGCUCUAAAUUCUUCAGCUCCAUAUUUAUGAAAUUUAUCAACUGGCGGCUUACUAACUCAUAUUGGUUCCAAACCAUGAGGAACUACGGGAACUGGUUUGGGAACAGGUGGGGGUAGAGGUUGUUGAGCCAUCAGGUUCAUUCAUACAAACUCGGUAAAGCAUUUGUUCAUCAUAUGGAAGAAGGCUUCCUUAGCCUCUCUUCCCUGGCCCUUAGAUACUGGCCUAGUGCCACUUGACACUGCUCUUUGAACGGAGGCUUGCGCGUUACUUUCAACUUCAUCAGAGUCAGCUCGGUUGGAUGUCAUUUCUAUAUGAAAACAUAUAUCAAAACAUGUUAGAAGUUAUCACACUAUCACAGGUUAUAUAAUGGGAUGUAUUUCUAGACUCGUACACGUUACAUUUGGUCCAAGAAUCGACUAAAUCGUAGCUCUGAUACCACUAAAUGUAACACCCCUAACCUAUAUUAGUCGUUGAAAUCAGUUACGAAGCAUUAUCGUAAAAACAUAACAUCAAAUCAGUUAUUUCUAAACAUUUCAUAAUUAUAGCAAAAUCCAUUCAAAUACAUGCAUAAUGUACCUUACUCGAGCUCUCGAGGCCUUGGAAACACUUUAGAAUCAAUUCAGGACUAAAUCGAAAACAUUUAGAAUUUUCUGGAAAAAGAUAAAAAAUUUCACACUAUAGGGGUCACACGGCCGUGUGGACAUUCUAAAUAGGGACACAUGGCCGUGUCCUAGAUCGUGUCUGUGCCCGUGUAACUCUCUAACUUGGGUCUCACUACUAAGCUACAUGCUCUGUGUGCUAGGCCAUGUAACUCUCGAAAUGGCCUCACACACCCGUGUGCCAGUGUAACACCCCUAACCUGUAUCCGACGCUGAAAUAGGGUUACAGAGCAUUACUAAAAACUUCUAACUUAAAACAUUUGAUUAUAAUCAUUUAUAAAACACAUCAUAUUCCAUUCAAACACAUACAUAACGUCCCUUUUUCGAGCCCUCAAGGCCUUAGAAACACUUUAGAAACAAUUCGGCACUGAAUUGAAAACAUUUAGAACUUCAAGGAAAACGGUAGAAAAAUUCAUACUAGAGGGGUCACACGGCUGAGACACACACUUGUGUCUUAGGCCGUGUGGGCAUUCGAAGUAGGGACAUACAGUCGUGUCCUAGCCUGUGUCCAUGCUCGUGUCCGUGCUCGCGUAACUCUCUGACUUGGUUCACACAGCCAAGCCACACGCCCGUGUGCCGGACUGUGUAACUCUCGAAAUGCAACCUAUAAAAACUUACAGGGGACACACGGCAGUGUCGCAUGACCAUGUGUCACACACGGCUGAGACACACGCCCGUGUCUUAGGCCGUGUGGACAAGAAAUAGGCCAUUUUCAAGCCAUUUACUUCACCCUAAACAUGCUCACACAUACAAACCAUUUGUACCUAUUUUAAGCAUUAAAAAAUGUACCUACCACAUGCAUAUUCAAGCUAGAUCAUCUUAGUAGUUAACCAUACAACCAAUAUGCCAAAAAGACACCUCAAUCACAACAAUCAAACUUGAUUAUACAUUUGCUAAGUUUAGCUAUAAAUCAACCAACCAUUUGAACUAAUUCUAUACCAACAUUUACCACAAUGUUCACAUACCAAUCAUACUCAAAUAUACCAAUUUGACCAUUCAACAACUAUCAUCAAUAAACCUUAGCAAACUUGGCCAUAUGCCAACCACAUCCAAAUAUACCAAAUUAGCCAUUUAUCUACUCAAUACUCACUAUCUAUCUCCAUAUCAAACCAUACCUCAAUGAAAAUAUUCAAGUAUAUCCAAAACAACAUUUCAUAGCAUGCAUAUUUAUUCAUCAUUCCAACUACCAUCACUUAAGUACCAAAAUGCCAAAAUAGCAACCAUUAAAAGACCAUCCAUACAUGUUAACAUAACCACCUAAAUGACAUAAACCAACGAUUUCCAAAAGGUACCAAUCAACCAACAUUUAUAUACCAUACUUACAUCAUGCACAUCUUGCUCAAAACCUUUCCAAAAUGAACUAUAUUUUGACCAUGUUGAGAUCAAUUUAUCACAUACCAUUUUGGCCAUUUAAAGAUACAUUAACAUAUACCAAUUUUGGUCAUUUCAAAAUAUGCAUCAAUUUGACCAUAUUAACCAUAACCAACAAGACAUCAAUAGUACUUUAAGUACCUCAACUCCAAGGCAACAUUUCAUGCCAUAAUCAUCAACCAAAAUGGCAUAUACAUGUCAAACUCAUCAAUUAAACAUUAAACAUAGUCCACCUAUACAUGCCAUUAUAACCACUACCAAAGCAUCAAGAUCUACUGAUAUAAUCGCUGGAUAAUGUGAUAUAUCUCCGACGAGCUUCCAACCUAAUCGAGCUUGUGAUAAUAUGAAAAGUAAAGGAAAAAUAACUACGUAAGCAAUGAAUGCUUAGUAAGCUCGUAUAAAUCAUAAGCAUAAUAUUACAUUUCAAUAAUGAAAUUUAUAGGUUAAAUACAAGCAUAUACCAAUGCCUCAAGAUUUAUCCAACCAUAGUUAUUAACUCACAAUUGAAUAACCUUUCUAUAAGAUUAUAUAUCUUUUUAUUUACUUUCUUUUCAUUCUGUUCCCAAUGCUUAUCAUAAGCCUAAACAAACAUUAUCAAUUCCUGACUUAGUGUAUUUAUCCGUAAUAUAGGUAUAUUCAUCCAUAGCAUAAGUAACUUGUUCACAUAUAAGUACAUCAUUUAUCAUAUUAGACCUUUUAUAACAUCAUGAUACAUCCCAAUUACGUACUUAUCGUUUCAUUUCCUUUUCUUACCCGUUUCAUAUGCAUAGUACAAGCGUAAUUAUAAACAUCAAUAAUAUCCACAAGCUUGGCAUAAGCCUAAGCACAUCAACAAUACAUGUUAGUUCAUUUAAACAUGAUUCAUAUGACAUGGAUAACCAUUAUACUUGAGCAACAUUUAAUUUGAUUUAUCAUCCAUCUUAUAACAUACCAUGUUUUCCAUGUAUCACCAUUUUAAUGAGUUUCACAUGUACAUAUCUUAAUUCAUAUUGAACACUUACCAUUCCAUUUGCAUAACACAUAAGACAUAAACAUAGCAUUAACCAUAGUCACAAGUUAGUGAUUAAACACAUAACUUAGCUAUAUCAUCAAUUGGUAAAAUAUGGUACAUAAACAUAACAUCACUUAAGUCAUACUUCUCAUAAUCAUGAAUGUUCUUACUUUGAUCAUCGAUACAUCAUACAUUUCCAUAAUUUUUGUAGUGAAAUCAAUAGGAACCCUUAUCGGUUCAUCCCUUUUCAUGCCCAUUGAACCACUUAGAAUAAUACCAGAUACAUGGGAAAGCUCACACAAAGUAUGCUAAACAUAUAGUUGUAGCUCACACAGGCUAUAAAAUGGGUCUGCUCACACAAGCUGUCGGUCAGAAUGUAAGCUACACGAUGCUAUUCACACAAGUUAUCGAGUAUUCGCAACUAAUGCCAGAUCUCAGCCAUAGGUAGGACAUUCAAGACCAGCACCCAAAACAUGGUAACUUGGGUCUGAUCACACAAGCUGUUAGUCGGAAUGUAGCUACACGGUGUUGCUUACACAAGCUGUCAAGUAUUCGCAACACAUGUUGGAACUCAGCCACCGGUAGGACAUUUAAGACCAGCACUCGAAACAUCGUAACCCUAAUGACAUGUCAUUUGUAUCCUAUAAUUCCUAAGGUUCAAACGGGGCUCGAUAAUCGUCGUACGUCGUUAAAUUUUCAUCGUUUCUUAACAAAAUAAAUUGCAUAAUAACAUGUAUAUAAUGAUUCAAUCACAAUAGAACCAGAUACUAACAUUCAAUUUAAUCAACAUUAUACAGAAUUUAGUUCAUAUGAACUUACUUGGCCAAAUUGCAGAAAUGAAAAAGUACAUGAGCAUUUUGGUAAUUUUUCAUUCUCCUCGAUUUUCCACUCGAUCUUUAUCUAAAUCAACAAUUUCAUUCAAUCUAAUAAUUUAGAUAGUAAAAUAAUGUAUUUUAUGCAAUUUAGUCAUUUUAUAUUUUUACAAAAUUGCCCUUAAAGUUUUACUUUUAUUCAAAUUAGUCUUUGAGCCCAAAACAUGCAAAUUAACCAUUUUUAAUGCCAAUUUAUAAUAGCUAAAUAUUCAUGGCACCUGUAUCAAUCCAUAUUUGCAAAAAUUUCACAUCAAAUCCUUGAACUGUUACUAUUUUAAUAAUUUAGUCCCUAAUUGGAAAAUUUAUCAAAAAUUACUUAAUAAAAUACUUUUAAAUAACAAAUAAUAUCUCAAAUUCAUCAUUUAACAUCUAAAAUCACAAGGUUCAUCAAUGGCAACAUUCAAAAUCUUUAAAAAUUUCAAAAUCGAAGGUACGGGCUAGCUAAACCUAGUUGCAACGAUCUCAAAAACAUAAAAAUUAAAACCAAUGGAUGAAAAAUGGCUUACCACGCAAAGGUAUAGCCAUAGUCGAACCUUGAAGCAUAACAAUGGUGUAUUUCGGUGGUGAACAAGCCAAAUGAAGAAGAAAAUUUUAUGUUUUCUUAUUCUUAUUAUAUUUUUAACCUUUAUUCUUUAUUUUAAUAAUAAAAUAACUUAUAAAACUUAUAAAAUUAAAAGAAAUUAAAACUUAAAUCGUCCACCAUAUAAAGAAUGGGUAAUUUACCCAUUAAGGCCAUCCAAUUAUGAUUCUUUAAUCAAUUAACACCUUUAAACUAAUAGUAAUUGACUUUUUCAACUUUUACGAUUUAGUCCUUUUCGCUUAAUUAACGAUCGAAACGUUAGAAUUUUUAACGAAACUUUAAUACCACAUUAAUGACACUUCGUAAAUAUUUGUAAAAUUAUUUAUGGCUCGGUUUAUAGAAACGAGGUCCCGAUAUCUUAUUUUUUAAAACCACUUGACCUUAGGGUUUUACCACUUGACCUUAAAUAAUCAUUAAUAUAACAAAAAUCGCUAUAUCAAAACCCUUUUUAAAACCAUAUUUGACUUGUAAAUAUUAAAUAAUAAUAUUUAUGAACUUACUCGUCGAAUUUGGUGGCCCUAAAACCACAGUUUUUGAUACCACUGAAAAAUCAGCUAUUACAGCCAGGCCAUGUAACUGCCUAACUUGCAAUGCUUUAAAACUUACAAGGGACACACGACUGUGUCAGAUGACCGUAUGUCACACACAGCUGAGACACACAUCCGUGUGGAUAAGAAAUAGGCCAAAUUUAAGCCAAAUCUUUCACCCAAUUCAAGCUCACAGCUACAAGCCAUUUGCACAUACAAUCAUGCUUUAAAAACAUACCUAAAACAUGUAUAAUAGGACUAAUUCAAUAUGGUAUCUACCCAUACAACCAAUAUGCCAAAAGGCACCUCAAUCACAAAUCAUUAAAUCAACCUAAACAUAAAUAUACUAUCCAUGAAUCAACCAUACAUAACUACCUAUUUUCAUACCAAACCAUACCACAAUAAGCAUAUGUCAAACCACACUCAAACAUACCAAAUUUUUCAUUCAAAAAAUAUCAUCACUUAACCAUUUCAACAUUAACCAUCAAAGUAUUAAAAUGAUAAAAGUUCAUUAAUCAUAAUAACACAUUUACAAGCCAAACAUAAUGACUAUAUUAUCAAGCACAAUUCACCUAUACAUGCCUUUAUAACCAUGACUCAAAGCACCGAAAUCUACCAAAAUAGUCGUUGGAUAGUGUGAUAGGUCUCCGACGAGCUUCCAAAUCGAUCGAGCUUCUGAUUAUCUAUAAAACAUGGAAAAGGGGACUAUGUAAGAAUAUAAUGCUUAUUAAGUUCGUAUAUCAUAAAACAUAACUUACAUAAAACAUAACUUACCAUUUCGUUACAUGACAUUAAAAAUUAACAUGAAAUAAUCCAACCUUUAGCUUGGCACAAGCCUAAGCACCAACACAAACACAUUACCAUACUUGAACAUAAUUUAUAUGAAUUUAACAUGGAUAACCAUUAUACUUGAACUUGAUUCAAUUGGAUUUAUCAUCCAUCAUAACAUAACAUGUUUUUCAUGUAGCUCACCAUUUCAAUGAAUUUCAUACAUACAGGUCUUGAUACAUAUUGAACACUUACCAUUUCCUUUAAAAUUCAUGUCCGUUGAAUCGUUUAGAAUAUCACCGAAUACGUGGGAUAGCUCACACGAAGUGUGCCAAACAUAUAAUCAUAACCUUCCCUUUCUUUUACAUUGUUGCUCAAACGAGCCGUGAAAUGGGCCUGCUCACAUGAAAUGUGGGUCAGAAUGUAAGCUACACGAUGCUACUCACACGAGCUGUGGAGUAUCCGCAACACAUGUCGGACCUCAGCCAUCAAUAGGACAUUCAAGACCAACACCCGAAACAUGGAAACCCUAUGAGAUGUCAUUUGUAUCCUACGAAUUCUUAAGGUUCAAACGGGGGUCGAUAAUCAUCGUACGUCGUUGGAUUUCCAUUAGUUAUUUACAUAACAAUCCACAAUUUACUUAUAGCUCAAAAGAUAUCAUUAAAACAUUACAUAAUUACACGAUCUUACCUCGAUAAUAAAGGCGUACAAACGGAGUCGACUAAUCCGAAGCUUAAUCUUUACCCUGAUUUAAAGCCGUAUGAGGUCUAUCUUGAUCUAAAUAAAUAAAUUCAAUCUAUUUAGUAUCCAUUCUACUCAAUUCAAUCCAAAUAUCAUUUUUUUCAAAAUUAAGCUUUUUCCCCUAUUUUUUUAUUUCAUUACAAUUUACUCCUUAAGCUCGUAAAUUAAAAUUCAUGCAAUUUUAUCCCUAUCCAAGCUAGUCGAAUUCAAUAUAGGCACUUAGAAACUCAUAAAAUUCAUUAUUUUACAAAUUUCACCAUGUAUUUUACACAUUUUACAAAUAAAUCCCUAUUUGACAUUUCCAACAAAAUUCACUUUACAAAAGUUGUUUAUUUAUCAACAAAGAUUCAUUUUUUUCCAUCAAACAUCGAGAAUCACAUGGAUAAAUUCAUGGAAAAACCCUAACCUUUUAACAUUUUUGCAAAUCAGUCAUUGGGCUUGCUAGAUUAAGCUAUAACGACUUCAAAAACAUAAAAUCAUUAAAAGUAAAAUGAAUUUUAAUUACAUGCAAGAGGGAGAGAUGACUGAAUGCUUGAAGUGUUAACAAUGGUGUUUUCUUAGGUCAAAUUUUGGUGGAAGAUGAAAAACAAAGAUGAUAGCUUUGGUUUUCAUUAAUUUACUAACUUUUAUUUAUUAAAUUACUUAUUUAACCUUAUUAUUAACAUAUAAAAACACCUAUUUAGUGUCCAUAUUUUUCCACUCAUGCUAAAAAUGGCAUAAUUAUCUUAUAAAUCCUUUAUCCAUUUAAUUUCAUAGUCAUUUGGUACUUUUAACUUAUAGAACUCUAAUUUUGCAUCUUUUACGAUUUAGACCUUUUACCAAAUUAAACAUGCAAAUGAUAAAAUUUCUUAAAGAAAUUUUUAUCCGACUUUGCUAGUAUCUUGUAGACAUUAAAAUAAUAAUAAAAUAAAUAUUGACACAUCAAAUUUGUGGUCUCAAAACCACUAUUCUAAUUUUAGUAAAAAUGGGUUGUUACACACAAGCUCACCUUUUUUAAUUAAAUUUUUGACAACUUUAGCUAAGUGUGAACACUCUUGUCGUCCAACCCAUGUUGCCAUACUAGGGAAGAUUCUUUCCUUGAUUACAAGAUCAACAUUCCCUUUUUUCUCCCUUUUUCACUCCCAUGAUCCCCUUUCCAAGCCGUUGUUCCCUCAACCUACCAAAUUCAUCCCUUACCUUGCCUCGGCCGGCCAUGCACCUAGACAUGUUUAUUUCGCUUUUUAUUUUAUUCAUUUUUCUCUCCUCUCCUCUCUUUUCUAUCCACGACCUUGCUCCUCUCCAUUUUUCUAUCUUUUUCUUCCAUUUCACUACCUAAAUCACCCUUUCUUCUCAUUUCUCCCCUACUCCGCCACCAUAUAAGGUCGCUACAGAUCCACCUCACCACCACCGUCGUUGUGACCGCUGUUGAGUUGUCACAUCGUCGCCGUCAACCACAACCCAAAAGUUUCUAAUUUUCUUCUUUUAUCCUUUUUUUUGAAAUUUAUCUAUAUAAUCCCUCAAUUCUUUUUUUCAUUAAAGGGUUACUUCCAAUCCUAUUUUCUAACUUUUUAUUUUACAUCAUAUUAUUUUCUACUAGUACUGAAUCCUCCUCUCUAAUCAUCAUAUUGUGGGAAAUUGUUGAGCCCUCUUUCCUCUAUUACUACGUAAGUAUAGUCAAUCUUCUAUCCUUGAUUCACUAUUGUAUAUUUUAUACAUACAUACAUACUUGACUAAGACAAUGCUAGCCAUUUCAAUUUAUGGGUUUCAUUGAAGUGCUAAUAAAAAAAUCUCAAUUUCGUAACCCCAAUUGUAGAAGUAAACAAUUAAGUCGAAGGAUUUCAGGCUCGAGAAUCAAACUCUUUCGUUAGAAGUUGGCAUUGGGAUCAUAGCAAAUGGAUCUGGAAAGGUGUGGGGGUUUGUUUUGCUAACAAUGGUUGAUAUCAUAUUUAAUCAAGAUAAUAUUAUUAUGAGAAAUAAUUAAUUACUGUUUAAAUAAUUAUUUAGAAAGUGAUAUUGGGUGAAUACUUUAAGUGUUCAUAUAGAUUGGUAAAAUCUGUUAAAAGAGGAUUCAAGUAAGUGUUUUGAAACUUUAGAUCUGUGAUGAAAUAUGCGAUUGUGUGCUUUCUGUUAAAAAUGUUGAUGUGUGAUUUCCUGACACUCAUGUUAUGUGGAAUAUGGUGAUUUGAAUGUGUAUUUACAAUAAACAUGAUAAUGGAUUAUUGAUGUUUUAAUCGCAUGUUAAGCAUGUUAAUGUUCUGAUAUUUUGGCUCGCAUGUUAAGCAUGUUAUUAAUUUGAUUUUGACUCGCAUGUUAAGCAUGCCAUGAUUUCUCAUUCUGAUUUGCAUGUUAGGCAUGCCAUUUUAUUAAACCGAAAAUAAAUCUAAUUCGCAUGUAAAGCAUGCCUAUUGUAAAAUAUGUUCUUUAUGCCAUAUCACAUGCAUGGGGUUGGGAUAAUGUGUAUGGAGGAAGUAUCUGGCAAUUUAACUACAUAUUGAUAUGAGUAAGCCAUCAUUGCCUAAUAAAUCGAGGUGGCAGUUCAUCGUUGCUAGAAACUCGAGAUGAAUUAACUGGUGGUAUACUCGCAAUAUUCUGUACCUGGUAGUAUAUCUGCAUUAUCUGGUAGCUCAACCACAAUAUUCUGUUUCUGGCAGCUCGACUACACUAUUUGGUGGCUUGACCAUAAUAUUGGUGUGUAGCGGAGAUAGGUAGGAUCUAUUUUUUGAAAAAUCUACACUGAUUUCUUAAAAAGUGUUGCAUUGACAUCGACAUUAUGCAUUCUGAUAAAUGAGAAAUUGUGACUGAAUAUCUAUAUGUAUAUGAUCUGUUUAAUUUGAUGUUUUAUGUGUUAAUUUCUGUUAUUAUGAUUUGUAACCCACACUAGGCUUUUAAAGCCCACCCCUUUUUAAUUCUGACUUUUCAGAUAAUAAUCGAGGUUAGGAUAGGCUCGAUUUACGAAUGUGCUCUCGGUCAUUUUCAAAAAAAAUAUUAUUUUAGGGAUGUGUUUUUAUUACUAUAGAUUUUUCCUUGGGAUUUUCUUUUGGGCUUUGGAUUAUUUUGGUUUUAGAUUUUUCUGCAUGAUUUAGGUUUUAAAAAUAUCAUUUAAAACAUUGUGAAAUUGACAAUUUACGAUGGAUUUUUCAUAACUAAGUCAAACAAGGCACAACAAGGGUGAUUUCAAAAUUCAAUACUUUGUUUUCGAAACUCAACACUAUCUGCUCACAAAAUUGAUAUUUUACAAUAUAUAUUAAAUCUACAUUUUAAAAAUGACAAACGAGUUUUAAAUUUGUAAAUUAUCCACUGCGAUGUUUAAAUUGAAGCAGGGCAUUUUCUGAAAAAUAUCAAAACUUGAGCUUUUUAUAGAUAAACAAUUUCAAAUAAAAUUUGGUUUUCUCAAACAAGUUACAAGGACAUUUUUAGCAACGAAAAUUUUAAGAGAAUAACUAAAUGAUUUUCUGCGCCAGCAAUAUGGCCAAUGUGAUCUUUGUGAUUUGGCCAUAACGCCUAGGCCGGGUGUAGGGGUUACAUUUAGAGACUCACCUUACACCCACGAACAACAGCUUGAUUUUAUGUUGAAAAUCCAAGCCAUAGUCAAAACUAAUUUUUAAAUAAAGUUUUGAUUUUGUUUUGAAAAUCCGAAACUCUGAAGCUGGCCGACAUAAGUACUUCUUACUUACUAAAUUUUUAUUGUGAAACUGUAGAUUUCUAUAUAUUGUGAAACUUUAAAUUCUGAAAACUAUAUUGUGAAACUCUAGAUUUUGAAAACUAUAGAUAUUGAUACUAUAGUGAUGAAACUUUUAGAACUGAAAAAAGUUUUGAAUUAAUAAUGAAAGCUUAUUUCUAAUUGUUAGAUAAAACUUUCAUAAAACUUAAGAAUUCGAUAAGAUGAGUACACAAAGCAUUCGUAAUAGUGGUAUGAGAGCUCGUGGAGAGUAGGGCCUAGGAACCCAAAUAGAUUUGUCAAUGUCACGAGUGCACACACCUAAGCCUUUGAUUGAACCUGAGCGAGUGGCUGACUAUGUAACAACCCGUUUUAGCAGAAUCAAAAUAGUGGUUUCAGGACCACAAACUCGACAUGGAAAUAUUUAUUUUAUUAAUAUUUUAAUAUCUACAACAUGUUAGUUAUGUCGUAUAAAACUUUCGUUAGGAAAUUUUAUUGUUUGCAAGCUUAAUUUGAUAAAAAUGACUCAAUUGCAUAAGGUGCAAAAUUAGAGUUCUAUAAGUAAAAGGUGUCAAAUUGCCAUGAAUUUUGAAUGAGUGGCCUUAAAUGGUAAUUAGACCAUUAAUAUUAUUAGUGGGCAAAGAUGGACAUCAUUUAAGUGAUUAGUAAAGGUCAUAUGUGUAAUUUAAUAAGUAAAAUCAAAUUAAGUAAAAACAAAACCAUUUUUUUUGUUCAUUUCAUCUUUUUGCGAAUUUUUCAAAGGGGAAACAAUAACAUUUUUAGGUUUUGAGCAUUCAGCAAGUUCGUCCUUGUGCAUGUAAGUGAUUUUUGUCCCGUUUUUAAUGAUUUCUAUGUUUUUUGAGUCAUUAUAGCUUAAUCUAGCUAGCCCGGGGACUAAUUUGCAAAAUUUUUAAAAGGUUAGGGUUUUACCAUGAAUGUUUAUGUGAUUUUUGUGAUGUUUUAUGGAAGAAAAUGAAUGUUUUUUUGUUAGUUAAACAACUUUUGUAAAGUGAAUUUUGAUGAAUUUAUUAAUUAGGGGUUAAAUUAAAAAAUGUGUAAUAUUCAUGGUAAAUUUUGAAAUUAAUGAAAAAUGUGAGCUACUAAGGAUUUAAUUGAAAUUCAAAUAGCUUGGGUUAGAAUUAAAUUUGCAUGAAUUUUGUUUUAUAAGCUUAGGAACUGAAUCGAAAUGAAUUCAAAAUUACAAGGGCAAAAAUGUAAAUUUUCUAAUGUAUGAUUUUUGGAUUGGACUGAAUUGAAUAGAAUGAUUAUUGAAUGGGCUGAAUUUGAUUAUUUAGAUCAAGUUAAGAAUCGUACGGAUUUAGAUCAGGGAAAGGAAAAUGUGUCAGAUUAGUUGAUUGUAUUUCUCCGUUUGUGAUUGAGGUAAGUUCAUACAUUUAAAUAACAUUUUAAUAUGUUUGAUAUAAAUGCUAUUUUGUUAUAUUAUUAUAUUAUGUUUCUACGGAAAAUUCCAACAAAGUUUUGAUGAAUUUCGGAUCCCAUUUUAACCUUAAGAUUAUAUAGGAUACAAAUGACAUGUCAUUAGGGUUACCGUGUUUUGAGUGCUAGUCCUGAACAUCCUACCGGUGGUAGUUUCGACAUGUGUUGCGAAUACUUGAUAGCUUGUGUGAGCAGCACCGUGUAGCUACGUUUUGAAUGACAGCUUGUGUGAGUAGACUCAUUUGUGGCUCAAGAUAGAGCACCUAUAUGAGGAUGAGGAAAUGGUUCUAACCAUAUGUUAGCACAUAUUGUGUGAGAUUCUCGCGUAUCUGAUAUUAUUCUAAGUGGUUCAACAGGUAUAUAAAGGGAAAGAAUGAUAGAUAUUUCAAUUAGUAAUGCCAUGAAAGCAUGAAAAGGUAUAAGUUGUUGAUGAUUAAAGUAUGCAUAGCCAUGUUCAUGAAACUAUGAAUGCUUAUAUGCUAAGUACAUGAAAUUAUUAUGUGAUGAAUUGGCUAAGUUAUGUGUUUAUCACUAACUUGAGUUGUUGUUGAUGCUUAGGCUUGUGCCAAGCUAUGUUGGAUUAUUUCAUACUUACUUUUAAGCCUAUAUAUUGAAAUGGUAAGCUUUGUUUGUGAUUUACGAACUUACUAAGCAUUAUAUGCUUACUUUGUGUUAUUUCUCUCAUGUUCUUAGAUAAUCGGAAGCUCAUUUGGGUUGAAAGCUUGUCGGAGAUCCAUCACACUAUCCAUUCGGCUAUAUCGGUAGAUUUUGAUGAUUUUGAGUCAUGGUUAUAAUGGCAUGUAUAGGUGUUUUGUGGUUUGAUGAAAUGGUUAGUAUAUAUAUGACUUGUAAUUUAGAACUUUUGGUUGAUGAAUAGGUUGUUGUGUUGGCAUGUUAAUGUGAUGUUUUAAUUGUUAACAUUUUGACAUUUUGAUGCUUAAAUGGUGAAUGAUGGAUUGGUAAAUCAGAUUCAUGCUAUGGAAUGUUGUUUUGAUAUGCAUGAUUGUGGUUGUUGAGGUAUGGAAUUUUGAAAGUAAACUUUGAAUUGAUAAAUGGCUAGUUAGCAUGUUUGGAUGAUUUGCCAUGUGGUCAAGCUUGCUAAGGUAGUAAUGAUAGGUGUUGAAUGGUCAUGUUGGUGUUCGUGAGUAUGAUAAUGGUGUGUGAACAUUAGGGAUAAUGGUGUGUGAACAUUAGGGAAAUGGUUAGUAUAAAACUAGUUACAUUGGUUACUUGAUUUGUGGAUAAAUUAGCAUAUGUAUAAUCAUGUUUGAAUGUUGAGAUUGAGGUGCCUUUUUGGGCAUAUUGGUUGUAUAAACUUACACCACAUUGUUUUAGCUUGAUUAUGCAUGGUUCAAGUACAAUCUGAAUGCAUGAAAUUAGGUGCAUUUGGUUUGUGUAGUGACUAGGCUUUGGGUGAGAAAAAUGGCUUGGAAAUGACCUAUUUUUCAUCCGCAUGGCUAGAGACAAGGGAGUGUGUCUCAGUCGUGUGUGAUACACGGCCAUGCGACACAGUCGUGUGUCCCUUGUAGCUUACAAAAGGUUGCAAGUCAGGCUAUUACAUAGCCUAGCACACCGGCAUGCGAGGUCAUUUCGAGGGGUACACGGCCUGGCACAUGGGCAUGUGGCUUGGCCGUGUGACCGAAGUCAAAGAGUUACAUGGGCACAGGAAAAGGCUGGGACACGGCCGUGUGUCCCUACUUUGAAUGCCCACACGACCUGAGACACGGGCGUGUGACCCUUACAGUAUGAAAAUUUUGUGAUUUUCCCAAAAAUUCUAUAUGUUUUUUAUUUAGUCCUGAUUAAUUUCUAAUUUGUCUUUAGGGCCUUGAGGGCUCAUAUAAGGGACAAUAAGUAUGAGUUUGAAUAAUAUUGCUAUGUUUUAUGUUAUGUUUUCAAUAUGUUGAAUAAUUGUUCGUUAUGAGAUGUAAACUUUCGGUAAUGCUCUGUAGCCUAUUCCAGCGAGGGAUACGGCUAGGGGUGUUACAAACUAGGUUGAAAAUACUCAUACCAUUGAUGAGGAUCAUCAAGAGCAUGCUAAAAAUGCUAUGUUACAGGCCAUUCUUAGGGCAUUAUAGCGUGUUGUUGGGGCCUAAAAUGGAUUAGGAAAUUGUGGGACUAUUGCGGAGAGGUUCCGAUCUAACCGAGCCAAAUUGUUUAGGGGCAUUACUAGGAUGACUCCUACCAUAUUGAAAUAUUGGUUAGAGUCCACAGAGAGAAUUCUAGAUGAAUUGGAGUGUACGCCAAAUAGAAAUUAAAGGGUAAUGUACCACUGCUUAUAGAUGAGGCUUACCAUUGGUGGCAAACCAUCAUGUGAGGUACUCAAACUAAGAGGCUGGCAUGGGAAUAUUUUUUUGAUGCUUUCUAGAAUAAAUAUGUGGGUACUCAAUAUGUCGAGGAUCGUAGAUUGGAGAUCAUCGAGCUCAAAUAGGGGUAUAGAUCUGUGGCUGAAUACGAGGCCAAAUUCUUAAGACUGAGUCACUAUGUUCAGGGGAUGAUCGCAACUGAGUAGGACAAAUGCAUCAGGUUCGAAAAUGAAUUAAUAUAUGAACUAAUGGUUCUAGUAGCCCUUCACCAAGAAAGAGUUUUCGAAACUUUAGUGGAGAAAAUAAAAAAUUGUUAAAGAAGUUAAGCGCGUAGAAUGCGAGAGAAAUGAUAAAGCUAAAAUCCCUAUUAAGAUAGAGAUGUUGGUCUUACUACACAAGCUCCGUGACUCAAUAAGCGGGCCAGAGAUGAUAGACCUCCACAGAAUAAUGAAUCUGUUAAUGACAGAACUAAACUCAGUCCCUUAGGGCAGUCUGUUUCUGAAAAAAAUUAAAUUAUUAUAAGAGAUACCUAUUAGAAAUUCAAGGAAAAAUAUCCCGCCAGACUUGAUGGAAUUACCCUUCAGGGAAUUUGACCUUAUAUUGGGAAUGGACUAGUUGGUGGAACACCAAGUUAAUUUGGAUUGCACUUCAAAGAUGACUAAUUUGAAAACUUUCAUUGGGAAAUAGAUAGUGCUGGUUGGAGAACGUAAAGAUUAAUUAUCUAAUGUGAUCUCCACUCUAGUGGCUGAAAAGUUGUUGCGCAAAUGAUGCAAAUCCUAUCUAGUUUAUAUUUUGGACACGAAUGUCAGUGAGUUAUCUGUUGAGAACAUUUGUACUAUAAGGGUCUAUCCCUAUGUCUUUCCAAAGGAGUUACCUAGAUCCAGAGCGUGAGGUAGAAUUUGGCAUUGAUUUGUUUCUAGGAACAACUCUUUUGUCCAUUGCUCCAUAUCGCAUGGCACCUAAAGUGCUAGUGGAACUUAAGGUACAACUUCAAGAACUUCUAAAUUGUGGAUUCAUUAGGCCGAGUGGGUUGCCAUGGGGAGCUUCAGUUCUGUUUGUUAAGAAGAAUGAUGGGUCAAUGAGAUAUUUAUUGAUUUUUGACAACUGAACAAGUUUACCAUUAAUAAUCGAUACUCUUUAUCGAGGAUCGAUGAUUUAUUCGAUUAGCUUAAGGAUACAAAAGUGCUAUCUAAGAUCGACUUAAGGUCCCCAUACUAUUAGUUGAAAGUGAACGAGACAGACGUUCCUAAUACCAUUUUCAAGACUCAGUAUGGCCACUACCAGUUCCUUGUGAUGCCCUUUGCUCUCACGAAUGCUCCUGCAACCUUUAUGGACCUAAUGAUUGGGUUUUUCAGCCUUACCUUGAUCAUUUUGUUGCGGUCUUCAUCGAUGACAUCUUGAUGUAUUGCAAGUAUGAAGAAGAGUAUGAUGAACAUUCGAGAGUGGUUCUGCAGAUUCUCUGAGAGAAAAAUUUAUAUGCCAAAUUGAGUAAAUAUGAGUUUUGGCUCCAGAAAGUGAUGUUUCUAGGACAUGUGGUAUCGACUGAGGGUUUGUGGCCUAUGUUGGAUUGUAAACAACCUAAGAAUGUCAGUGAGAUUUAAAGUUUCCAAAAAUUGGUUGGUUACUAUAGGAGGUUUGUGGAAGGAUUCUCUUUGAUUGCAGCUUCGAUGACCAAGAUAUUGAGGAAAAGUGCCCCUUUAAAGUGGACUAAAGAGCAACAACAGAGUUUUGAAAAGCUUAAGUCUGUGUUGACUCAAGUGCCUAUUCUGAUUUAGCCAGAGUCUGGGAAGGAUUAUAUGGUGUACAGUGAUGCAUCUCAUACCGGUCUUGGAUGUGUUUUCAUGCAAGAUGGUAAGGUUGGGGCCUACGCAUUGAAAAAAAUUAAGCAUCAUGAGCAUAAUUAUCCAACUCAUGAUCUCGAACUUGCUGUUGUUGUUUUUUCCCUCAAGAUUUGGAGGCAUUAUCUUUAUGGUGAGAUGUGUAUUAUUUACACAGAUCAAAAGAACCUUAAGUAUCUCCUCACCCAAAAGGAGUUGAACUUGAGGCAAAAGAGAUUGAUUGAGCUACUCAAGGAUUACAAUCUUAGCAUCGAGUACCAUCCGGGAAAGGCGAAUGUUGAUGUCGAUGCACUGAGUAGGAAGUCGAUAACUUAUCUAAGGGCAAUGUUCAUGAAGUUGAGUUUUAGUGAUGAUGGAGGUUUACUUGCAGAAUUACAAGUGAUGCUUACCUUAAAGGAUGAGAUUCGAUCGAAGUAAUCUGCUGAUGAGUCUCUCACACCUCGUUGCAAUCAAGUUGAGAAAGGUAAAACAACCAACUUUAGCCUUAAUUCUAUUGGAGUUUUGUGCUUCCAUGGAAGAUACUGUGUGCUCGAUGAUCGAGAGUUGAGGUAGUCUAUACUUCAGGAAGAACAUAGUAGCCCAUACACUAUGCAUCCUAGAUGGAAUAAGAUGUACUGAGACUUGAGAGAACAAUACUGGUGGCCAGGGCUUAAACGUGAUGUAAUCGAAUAUGUAAGUAAGUGUCUGACAUGCUAGAAAGUUAAGGCUGAGCAUCAGUUCUGCCUGUCCGUACCGAUUAUUCAUUACAUAAGUUGGUAAGGUUGUAUAUUUCUGAGAUUGUGAGAUUGCAUGUUGUACCGUUGUCCAUCAUUUACUAUUGGGAUCCUCGAUUUACAUCUCGAUUUUGAACAAAAAUUGCACGAGGCUUUGGGAAUUCAAUUGAAUGUUAGUAGAACUUUUCACCCACAAUUUAAUGGGCAAUCUGAGCGAGUUAUACAAAUUUUGAUGGACAUGCUUGAUCUAUUGUAAAUCAUACUAUUAUUUACAUCCUUUUUUACACAUAAUUAUAGCUUGUUUAAUAGUAAAUCAAAUCAUUUUAGUAUAUAUUUAGGUUAUCAUACUUAAAUUAGUAAUUUAUGCUUUCUAGUAGUUUUUAUUACAUUUUAUAUAUCUAAAUAAGGUUCCAUGGUCUUGUAGGUCAUGCCGGGAGCUAAAGAUGCUUAUUUGGGCCAAAACUGAUGCCUAUGUCACGACACCAAGAUACUGAUAUCUCAACGUCGAAGACAGAAGCUAAAAACAAGUUUUGGCACAAAAAUGCCUUUGGUGUCGUGUUUAGACUCUAAUCUUGCAACACUGUAGGCUUAUGUUGCAACCAACCCCCCGCAUAGCCCAAAAACUCAGGGACAUUUUAAUUACAUUUUUGAGGGAAAUUAGGUGUAUUUGUCCCAGUCGAACUCUAAGGACUUCAAGGAUAAUUUAGGCACUUUAAUAUUCUUCUGAGUUUAGCCUAUAUAAAGGUGAUUGUAAUUAGCUUAAACAUACAUUUUUAGGGUUUUGAUUCUUAGGUUUCUCUUUCAUUUUUAAUUUUUACUUAGGUUAUUUGAUGUUCUUGUAAUUAGAAGAUCUUAUUCUGAAGUGAGACUUCCAUGAAGAGAGAUUGUUCCGAAACCACGCUUUCAUCGAUAAAGCUAUGAACAUCUCUUUCCCUUAUUCUCUUCUUUAUAUUUCUUUAUUUAACAUUGCUAGAUGAAUGUUUGUGUAAACAUUAGAAUCAAUUUGUGUUUUCUACAUAUUUUGCAUGUUUCAAUUGCUUUAACUUAAUUAAUUACUAGAAUGAUAGGGUUUCUUAGCUGAUCAGUUGUUUGGGAAGGGAACAACAUGAAGCAAACCCUAGACCUGACAAACCUAGGAAGUUAUUUAGGUGGGAAUUAACCCAAAAUUGGAUGGCCUAUCUGUGAACACCUUAACCCCGAACUGGUCUGAGCUGUGAGGUAGGAAGAUAAGUACUUCUUACUGACUAGUUAUUCUAGUGGAGGAUCGGAAGAUCCUGCUAGGGUAUCAACUAGUUGAUUGAUUAGAACUCUACUUCAAUAAUGAAUUAGGUAAAACAAUUGGAUCUAGGCUAAAAGGAACUCGCGUAGUUAAAACAAGGAAUAGGAAAAGCUGAUAUAGGAACCUAGGAGUAGAUUUAAGUUUAGUUAAAUUUAUUUAGUUUCUUAUUAUUAUUAUCAUCUUGCUUCUUAAUUAACACUACCAAUUCGUGACUCGAGUAGAUUAGUAAUUAUUUCCCGUAAAUGAGGUCGGAAGAUAAGUAGUCAUUGCUGACUCAUUUUGUUCGUGGAUGAUUGGAGGGUCCUACUAGGGUAGCGACUAGUUGGUUGACGAGAACCCUGAAACGAUAGUUGAUUGAGAUUGCCGAAGCAAGCUAAUCACCCAUCAUCAAAUUUGAUUCCUUCUACUUUUUCUAUCUCUUGAAAUCUAGUUUUCUUUUAUGUUAUUUGUUUUUAUUAUUAGUACUAUAAAAAUCCCAAAAAUCUUUUACUUACGUUUUCGCAUUGUAACUUGAUUAAAGUAUUAAAUAGAUCUUUUAGUGUGUAGGUUAAAAUUGAUCUAGCCUUUGCCUCCCUUGGGUACGAUCCUCGAAGUACUCACCCAAUUCGUUGUAAAAUUAUAUUACAACUAGACCUAUAUACUUAUGGAUACCAUCCUGUAAUUCUAUAUGUUAAUGCAAUAUUCACACUCUGGACGUUAGUACGUUCGGAGGCGUUCAAGUUGUUGGCGCCGUUGCCGGGGAGGCAACGUCACUAGAUUGAUUUUAAUUUUUUCACUUUAAAAGAAUAAUUAGGAAAUGUGUAGGUUAUAAUUACAACUUCCAAUUUAUUUUGUCAAAAUUAACACUUCUAACAUUAGUUUUUAGGAAUCCUAGACACCGUUAACCAAAUAAUCAGUCAGCACAAACUCAUGGAUGACUUUUAUUAUAUGUGGUCCGAUGAAGACUUCAAUUAUGAUGAAGAUAUUUAUGAAGGAGUUUAUGAAGAUUGGGAGAUCCAGGAGAAUCAACGAUUACUAAUGCUUGAAUUGAGUCAACUCCGAGGAGAAACCCAAUUCUUCCCAAAGAUGAUGAUAACUAUAAUGAUAUGUUGUUAGAAAGGUACGAAGAGGUGCUAAGUCCGAAAUUGAGGUGAAAAAAGAAUAUCAUCAUAAAUGCUUGCGAAGGAGGAGAAAUCCCAGACCAUUAUCCACUUCAGCAUAGAGAAGAAUAUCCAUAAUAGGUGAAUGAAACAACAACAGAAAAAGGUAUGGAGUUGGUAGGGGAAAUGGCUAGUGAACCUAAUAGUCAGAUUAGUAUGGAACCCAUCGUUCCUUCAAUUAAGAGAUCUUCCGAUCAAGCAGGAACACCAGAGCAACAUAACGCAGACCCACCAAUAGAGACGAUGGCCUUCAUGCUCAACUCAGUGGAAGAAUGUCUAUCAAUUCGGGAAUUCACAAAGCAAAAUAAAGAGAAACCAGUAAUCUCAGCUGAUAAGCUUGAAUUGACCAUUCUUUGCAUGUCUUUAUUCCUAAAUCAACACCCUAGAAAUUCAAUGACCUAGGAGUUUUCCAGAUGUUGAACAAAAUUGGAAAAACAUUAAACCUAGCAGGCUUCAACCAAGUAGGACUGUAACCCUUCAAAUCGAUCCUAGACAUUACGGACCAAUUUAAGCGAUUACUUGGGACAUAGUUCUGGCCAAAACUUGAGUAGAAGUACGCUGGUUUAAUAUUUGAAAAACAUGCGCAAGUAUUCUUUUAAAUAUGACAUUUUUACUAAAAUUUGAAAGAAACUUGUUUAAUAUUUUUAAAACAAAACUUGAUGAUCUUUAAAUUAAAAUUCAAUAAAUUGAGUUUGCGGAAAAUGGUUUUAUUAAGAAAACACCAAAUUAUUUAAUCCAUAAUAAAAGUCCAUGCAAAUUGUUCGAUGUCCAAAAUCUAAAAAUCCCAUGCUACAAUUCUAUAGUCUAACAUAAAAUAAAUUCCCAAAUAUUAAUAAAGUCCACAAAAGUCCGAAACAUAAUAGAAAUCCAUAUUUAUAUAAAACCAUUCCCGAGAGCCUUACUGAUGACUACAUCCAAGUCCUAACCACAAGGAUUAUCUGAAAGACAUAAGUAAUGUGAGUGAGCUUUAAAAAGCCUAUUGUGAGAUCAACACAAAUAUAAUCGCAUACAUAUCAAAAUAUCAUGCUCAGCAUAUCAAUCAUCAUAAUAAUCACAAGUUCUAACACUGAUCUUAUGCAUGAACAUGUCGAUGCAUAUUUUAAAAUGAUGUACAUUUUAUAAAAUUUCCUACCCAUCUCCUCUACACACCAGUGUCGAGUUCCCCAGAACUCAUUCAUCUGAAAUACCAUUUGUUGACAAGCCACUAUUUUUUGCAGAUAAACUGCCACUGAUAACCCUUUUGUAAACAAGCCACCACUGAAUUGUAGAUAUACUGCCACUGAUAUGAUAAUCACAUAUCUUAUGAUAAUCACUUUUAACAUGUUAAAUCAUGGAUCUCAAUAUUUUUAACAUACACAUAUAUAAGUCCCACAUGUUUAAAUCAUCACAUAUAUCAUAUAAGCCGUACAUCACUUAUCAUGAGAAUGAGAUAUACAUAUACAUCAUAAUCACUUCAAUUAUCAUGCGUUUCAUAGAAUCACUCGGUUAGAAUCACUUCCUUGGUGUACAUAUCAUGAUUGGGAUUACUGAAGCAAGUUAAUCACCCAACAUCAGAUUUGAUUCCUUCUACUUUUUCUAUCUCUUGAAAUCUAGUUUUCUUUUAUGUUAUUUUUUUAUUAUUAGUACUAUAAAAAUUCAAAAAAUUUCUUACGUUUUCGUUCUAUAACUUGAUUAAAAUAUUAAUUAGAUCUUUUAGUAUGUAGGUUAAAAUUGAACUAGCCUUCGCCUCCCUUGGGUACGAUCCUCGGAGUACUCACCCACUUCGUUGAAAAACUAUAUUACAACUAGAAUCAUAUACUUGCGGAUACUGGCUCGUAAUUCUCUAUUUUAAUGCAGUAUUCACACUCUAGACAUCAAGUCCAGAGGCAGUCACACCACCAUGGGAAACAUAGAUAACCCCAUUAAAUAAAUGUCGUUCAACAUUUCUUUUUAGAGUGUGCCAUGACCAUGGACUUUUUCCUUUAGACUUUCAUGUCAGAGUUCAUGUUUACUGUUCUGACGAACUUCCUUAGUUACCAUUACGAUGACUCGACUCACUUUACAAACUCUAUGAACACAGGCACACCCUAGACCCAACAUUUCAUAUCACUCUUAAUGCAUAUAAUAGAGCUUAUUAUCAAGCAGACUAACUUAUAUCUUAAUCUAAUCUUAACUUUAUUCCUAUAGUCGUAUAAGCAUCAUAUUCAUACUAUACUAUGCAUGAUUUCCAGUUUCCAGUUGGAUCACUUUCAUAUAGAUAUACUUCAGUAUGAACAGUAUACAUGCAAGAGUCAGAGUAGAAACUCACCUGACACUCAACUAUUGAAUCUUGAACUCUAAUCCAACUUCCAUAAUGAACCAGCAACAACCACCACACUACUUUUAGAACAUAAGAACACUAAUAAACUUAUUCGAAUACCUCUUAUCAUUGUUUCAAACACCGACAAUUUCCAUGCAAAACCUUAAACCUACACCUUACUAUUCAUGCACCUUUUACAAACUUACUCUUUUAGAAUUUAAUAUACAUAAUGGUAAUACUUACCCUGGGAUGGAAUAACCACUAUUUAACUCCAAAUUCUGAGCUUUAAGUUUACGGAGGAAGAAAUACCGUUGGAUCAUGGCAGAGGAACCAGAGAAUAGUAUAUUCAGGAAAAAGAAAAAAAAUAUAUUUUCAAGGACUUUUCCAUAAACAUAUAUAGCCUUAACUCACUUACUGUAAUUUUACAAGUGUCACUUGAAUUCAGUGUUUGUUUUACUUAAUGGUCUACAGAUUCUAAGAGUAACAUAAAUGAGAAUAAAAAAUAAAAAAUAUUAGAUUAGUCUAUCAAGUUGAUUCCUAACCAAAAUACUUACUACGCAAUUAGCACAGUAACUCAGACAAACAGGGCGUAAUAUACCUUUAGCGUUAACUCAAGUCAUAAUUACCCUUUUUAUUUUCUAAAUUCUUCCUCUUCAUUUAGUAAGGUAUUCCAAAAUCAAUAUUUACUUCCAAACUAGAUGAUUUCUAUAUGCCCAAUCUAUACGCCAGAGAAGACAAUUGGGCGGAUAACACUUCACCAAACAUAUGCUUUUAAGACUACCCGCCAAACCCUCGAACCCGCCAAUACUUGGAUGUUACAACUCUCCUCCCCUUAAGAAAAUUUUGUCCUUGAAAUUAUAACGUUAAAGAAUUCCAAAUUCAAAAUUACAAACCCGCCAAGAAUGUAACACCAAUUAGGCAAAUCCACAUACUUACUCAUCAAAAUUUUCCUGUCAGUGACAUACACUUGAAAAUCUUAUUAAGAAAAUGCCAUCAAUUUGUUUCUUUGGACCAAAUAAAAAAUUUGGCAAUUACUCACCUAAAUUUGAACAUUGCACAUUUACCUUUUUGAUAGAUGUCCACUUUGUAUUAGACGACUUGAACCACUUUCACAGAAUAAACUUCUUGCACAAGCUUACUUCUACUAAACAGAGGCUCAAACAUUUUCAUCAGCACUUUUGUUAAAUCUUUCAAAUCCCUUACUUCUUUUCUACUUAAUCUUUCUAUCUUCAUCGUCUUUAAUAUCAGAUUUCUUAAAGGUAAUCUUUUCUUUUCUUUUCUUCACUUUUUUUGUUUUUCCUAUUUACACUUAGAGAUGUCUAGAACAACCACUCGGGGUAGAGGAUGAAGCCAGGGUAAUCGAAAUAUAGCUCUCAAAAAUCCCUUCUCUUUCAAACUUCAAGGUCCUGAUGAUACUCCUCCAUGCAUAUCAACUCCUUCAUAUGAAUGUAGUACCACUUAAGAAGAAAUAAAUAAAUAUUUAGGAGCUCAGGGCAUUCGACACUUGAAUUUUUCCUCUGAUUUGAGAUGACCACCAUUUGAAUGACAAUACCCAAGGUUUCAUCCUUCCACUAGUUUUACUAGAAGCUAGCUUCCACUUACCACUACAUCCAUUCUUUGCUCGAUUUUAACUGAGCAUGGCAUUGCACCAGGAUAACUAUCAGCCUUGUCCUGUUGGACUCUGAUAGGCUAUUUUAUUGAUUGUUGCAUGUGUAAUGAACCACCACUAUUGGGAGUCUUUCAGAAAAUCUAUCAAUUAAAAGUUACAAGGCAAAGAGUUGGUGCCGAAAACGCCCACUUCAGUGUUCGACAAGGUUAUGAUCCAGUCAUUCAGAAUAGUAUUUCUAAUCUACAUUGGAAGAAGGAAAAGCGCAUAAGAGUAAUUUGCAAACUUGAAAGUGGUUUUGGUUUUCCCAUUUGUUGGUCUCUUACUCGAGAAUCCAUUUGUGCCCACAAUCAACCUGUUGAUUCAAGAGUUCCUAAGAAAAAUAUUAAGCAUCUAAUGAAGGGGCGGACACUUGAACUAAUGGAGUUAGUUACAGUUAGGAAUGUUUUCCAGUAUUGUUUGUGUAAUAGCCCCUUUUUUAAUGGUACUAGAAACAGUGGUUUUGGGGCCAUAAAAUCUGACGAGGAAGUUUAAAAAUAUUAUUAUUUAAUAUUAACGAGUCAAAUGUGAUUUGAAAAAGGUUUUUGAUUUGAUAAUUUAUGUUAUAUAAGCGAUUUAUUAAGUUCAAGUAGUAAGACCCUAAGGUCAAGUGGUUUUAAAAAAUAAGCGAUUUAUAAACUGAGUCAUAAAUAUUUUUAUAAGUAUUUACGGAGUGUCAUUAAGGUGGUAUUAAAGUUUUGUCGAAAGAUUUUAACGUUUCAAUAGUUAAUUAAUUAAAAAGAACUAAAUUGUAAAAGUUGAAAAAGUUAAUCGCUAUUAGUUUAAAGAGGUUAAUUGGUUAAAGAAUUAUAAUUGGAUGGCCUUAUUGAGUAAAUUACCCAUCCUAAAGAUAGUGGGACAAUAAGGGAACUUUAAAUUUUUGGUUUUAUUUAUGUAUAACAGUUAAAUAAUUAAAAAUAAGUAUUAUUAUUAAAAUAAAGAUGAAAAUUAUGAUUUGUUUCUUCAUUCUUCUUUAAACACCAAAUGUCACUAUGGAUAAAGAAAAGGAGAAGUUCCAAGCUUCCGCCAAACAAAAAUGGGUGCAUGUAAGUGAUUUAUUUAUCGGAUUCUAAUAAUUUUUAUGUUUUUGAGAUCGUUGCAACUUGGUCCAGCUAGCUCAUACCUUCGAUUUUUAAAACGGUUAAAGAUUUUGAACGUUUCCAUUGAUGAAUCUAGUGAUUUUUUAUGUUAAAUGAUUAAUUUUAAAUAUUAGUUGUUAUUUAAAAGUAUUAUGUUAAGUGAUUUUUGAUGAAUUUAUCAAUUAGGGACUAAAUUGCUAAAAUAAUAAAAGUACAAAGAUUUGAUGUGAAAUUAUUGCAAAAUGGGAUGAAAUGGAGGCGAUGAAUAUUUGGCUAAUGUAAAAUUUCAAUAAAAAUGAUUAAUUUGCAUGUGUUAGGCUCAGGGACUAAAUUGAAUAAAAGUAAAAUGUUAGGGGUAAUUUUUUAAAAAUGUAAAAAAGACUAAAUUGCAUAAAAAUGCAUUUUUUACUAUCUAAAUUAAUAUAUUGAAUGAAAUUAUUAAUUUAGAUUAAGAUCGGGUGGAAAAUCGAGGAGAAUGGAAAUUUACCAAAAUGCCCCUAUACUUUGACAUUUCUAUAAUUUAUUCAGGUAAGUUUAUACAUUUAAAUAGCAUUUUAAAUUAUGCUUUAAAUGCUAUCAUUUUAUAAUAUCAAAUUACGUAUCGGCUGAAAAAUUCAACGACGUAUCAGUGAUCGUCAACCAAUGAAAAGGGAUAACUUCGGCUAUUGAAUAUGAAAAGGGAUAGCUUCGGCUAUCGAAUAUGAAAAGGGAUAGCUUUGGCUAUCGAUUAUGAAAAAGGAUGGUGACGACCAUCGAAUAUGAAAAGGGAUAGCUUCGACUAUUGAUUAUGAAAAGGGAUAGCUUUGGCUAUCGAUUAUGAAAAGGGGUGGUGACGACCAUUGAUUAAUGAAAAGGGACGAUUAUAACUAUUGUUUAGCACACUUUGUGUGAGCUCCGAUAAGGGUUCUGAUUGACUUCACUACAAUAAUUAUGGAAAGGUAUGAUGUACCAAUGGUCAAAGUAUGAAUAUUCAUGUUUAUGAAAGGUAUAAUAUAACUGAUGCUAUGUUAUAGACCCAUAUCUUACCAUGUGAUGAUAUUGCUAAUUUGUGUGUUUAAUCACUAGCUUAUGGCUAUGGUUAAUGUUAUGUUUAUGUCUUACGUGUAUCCAGUUGAAAUGGUAAGUGUUCAAUAAGAAUUAAUACAUGUUUAUAUGAAACUCAAUGGAAUGGUGAUACAUGGAAAAACAUGAUAUGUUGUGAUGGAUGAUAAAUCCAAUUGAAUCAUACUCAAGUAUAAUGGUUAUUCAUGUCAAAUUCAUAUGAAUCAUGUUUAAAUUAACUAACAUGUGUUGUUGAUGUGCUAGGGGUUAUACCAAACUUAUGGAUAUGAUCGAUGUUUAUGAUUAUGCUUGUACUAUGCAUAUGAAAUGGGUAAGAAAAGGAAAUGAAACUGUAAGUACGUAAUUGAGAUGUAUUAUGAUGUAUUAUAUGUGAGAAAAUUGCUUAUGCUAUGGAUAAAUACACUAAACUGAGAGUUAAUAAUGUUGUUUAGGCUUAUGAUAAGCAUUGGGGAUGGAAUGGAAAGUAAGUAAAUAUAAAGAUAUAUAAUCUUAUAAAAGGGAUUGAUGAUAUAUAUUAUGUCUCAUGAAAUCCUGUCAUGUUAUGAAUGGUCAAUAAUAUGCGACAUUAAUAAACUUACUCAUUUGUGAGUCGAUGAUCAUAUCGAUUUAUGAAUCUUAUAGCAUUGGCAUAGAUUUAUAUUUAUUCUAUAAAUUUUAAUAUUGAAAUUGAAUAUUAUGCUUAAAGUUUAUACGAGCUUACUAAGCAUUCAUUGCUUACAUAGUUUUUCCUUUACCUUACAGAAUAUCAGAAGCUCAAUUGGGUUGGAAGCUAGUCGAAGAUCCAUCACAUUGUCCAUCGAUUUUAUCGGUAGAUUUUUAUGCUUUGGUCGCGAUUAUAAUGGCAUGUAUAAGUGUUUUAUGCUUGAUGAUAUGACCACUAUGUUUGGCUUGUAAAUAUGGUUUAGUGAAGAUAUGUUUUGAAUGGACAAAUUGGUAUGCUUGUGUGUGAUAUUGGCAUGUAAUGUUGCUUUGAAUUUGUGAAACUUAUGUUAUUUUGAUGCCUUGAUAGUCGGUGUGCUUUUGGCACUUUAAUGAUGGUUGGUGUUAUAUGAUCAAAUUGAUGCAUGAUUUUAUGGCCAAAGUGGUAUGUGUUGGCAUGUUUGCAAAGUGAUCAUUUAGGGCAUGUUUUCAUAUAGGAUUUAAUCAAAUAUGUUUGGUUGAAUUAUGACCAUUUGAACCAUUUAGUAAUGGUUAGUUUUGUGUCAUUUAUAUGGUUUUGAUACAUAAGAGAAGUGGUUCAAAUGGUAAAGUUUUUUUGUUAUGGUAUGAAUCUAAAUUGGUAAGGUUGGUAUGUGUCAAAAGUGGUAUGUUUUGGUAUGGAAUCAAGUUAGUUGCUAAAUGGUUAAAUAUGAACAUGUUUAAGUAUGUUUAAUGUGUGUGUUUGAGGUGCCUUUACGGCAUAUUGGUUGAACGGAAAUUGGUCAUUUUAUGCAUAGUUGAACAUGUUUCGAUACCUAGGUCAUAUGUGCAAAUGGCUUAUUUAGGUAUGCUUCAAUUGGAUGAAAGAAAUGGCUUGAAUUUGACCUAUUUCUUGUUCACACGGCCUAAGACAAAGGCGUGUGUCUCAGAUGUGUGUGACACACGGCCAGUGUCCUCUGUAGGUUUUUAAAGGUUACAUUUCGAGAGUUACACGGCCUAGCACACAGGCGUGUGACUUGGCCGUGUGACCCAAGUCAGAGAGUUACACAGGCUGGAACAUGACUGUGUGUCCCUAUUUCGAAUGUCCAUACGGCCUAAGACACGAGUGUGUGUCUCAGCCAUGUGACCCCUGUAGUGUGAAUUUUUCCAUCUUUUUCCAUGAAGUUGUAAAUGUUUUCGAUUUAGUCCCGAAUCAUUUCUAAAGUGUUUCUAAGGCCUCAAAUGCUCGAUUAAGGGACGGUAUGCAUGUGUUUGGAUGGAAUAUGAUGUGAUUCAUGAAAUGAUUUGGAAUGAAUGUUUUGAUGUUACGAUUUUACGGUAAUGCUCUGUAACCCUAUUUCGAUGAUGGAUAUGGGUUAGUGGUGUUACAGUUUGCAAAAUCAAAUCCCCAAUGGUCAUUGGGAUACUGACUCCAUUAGUUGGUUAGAUAAUUAUAAUGUGCCUUCAGCCUCAGUGGCCUGGCUAUUUAAUGGCACCAGUAAUCUAGCACAAAUCUUGACUGGACGAGCAGGAGAACGUCCUUUGUAUUUCUACGAAGUCUGUGGAUUCUUUCUUGCAAUUGGAUUAUCACUCCUAGUAUUCCUUAUUCUUCUUCAAGUGAGGCUAGUACUCAUAUACAUUAUGCAGGGACAAUUUCAAAAUAUCAUACCAGACCUAAACAAGCAUUGGGUAUGUACAUCAUUGCUCUUUUAAAUUAAACUCAUGUUAAGGAGAAAACCACUUCUGCUCCUUCAAAGAAGUUAACAAUAAAGAAAUAUCAGAAGAGACCGAGAGUGAAUGAGGACAGUUAAAAACUUGAUAAGGGUUAAUGUCCAUAACCUAAAUUGCACAGGCUUAAAAAGGGACUUCCGACACGAAGAAUUUCUUCUCCUAUAGUCCCAACACUUCUUUCAAUUCCUGCAGAUCCCAUAGAGUCCACCCAACCCAUAGACUCCUCAACUCAGAAUGUUAAACCUCCACUGGUUGAGGUCCCUACAGAAACAUUACCAUCCGAAUGGCUAGUGAUUUCCUCCAGUUCUCAACCUCAACAACCCUCAAAUAUAGAUACAAUUAAUUUCUUCCCUUCGCGUGACUUAUAUACUCCAAGGCUAUCCUCUGUUUCUUUAAAUUCCAUCUUCCAAAGUCAGUACAGUGUGAUACCUCCUCCGUUGAAAAAGUCUGUCCGAUCUUACCUUUCAUCCAAACCAAAUUCAUCUCAUAUUUUACAAAUGGCUGAGUUAGCAUAGGCUUUAUCUGUAGAAUAUGGACUAUGGAGUGGAAUUCUUCAAGAAAGAAACAAUCAUCAUAAGGCAAAAGUUGCUUACCACUACAAUAUCUGAGGUGUUACAACUCACCCCUUAUUAAAGAAAUUUCAUCCCCGAAAUUUCCCACUAACAGAACAGUUGUCUAAACACAAAACUUACGACUACGUUCCCACUGUACACUCUAAUCCUGAAGCUUUGCCGUACCAAACAUUUAAGCCCCACACCCAUAAUCCAAAUGUCUAACCCUUAAACUGGAUCAACAUACCUACAUACACGGCCACUCAAACCCAAGACCUCAAACACACACCCAAAACACUUAGCUACAGAAGCAGAUACAUAUUUUUCCAUCACACAUACAAACGUUAUCCACCCAAUAGUCCAACGAAUCAUUCAAAAGAAUAACACAUAACGUCAAAAUGGCCUACACCCAUACAUGUCUCAAUGUCACCGAGGACACUCCCUAACCUGAUGCUCUGUAGACUCGCAUCUGAGACACGUUCCCGACUUCUUCCAACAAUCGCCCAGAUAGUGCUUCUUAUAGUGCCCAAAAAACAAAACACUCUCACCACUACUUGAACCCUUGACAUUACCUUUGCUAUUAACACUCCAUUGCAUUCUCACACAUUUCAUAGGUCGAGGCUCUAACCUCGAAGGACUACGAUCUCUUUUCUUCCCACAAUCUAUGCACCUACCUUGAACCAUCUCUCUAUAUAUUUCUAUGCUAGCCUCAAAUAUUUUCUCUAACACUUAUUUCACUACUCAAGUUAAUGCCUUAGUACCAACCUCUGGGUUAUGGCUACCCGAAGUUGGCAGAAUCGCAUUGACUUUUGACUCCCGAAUAGACACACGUCCCGAAGAAAUUAUCGACUCCUCAAGAGUAUCACUAGACUGAUCCUCCUGAUCUCGCUUACCUUCAGAAUCCAUAUCAAACCUCAAAAUCAACCUUAAGAAUCUUACAGUUUCGAAUUUCCUCCUGGACUAGCAUCAGAGUCUUAGAAAUUUUAUUCUCGUAAAACAUUUUCAAAACACCAACCAUUUCAAAACACUGUGGAAAACUUUUUAAAAAACAGACACGUGCGAACACGGAUACUUAAAAAAUAAGCUAAGUUUUUGCAAACCUGGCUCUGAUACCACUAAAUGUAACGCCCCAAAACCUUGCCAAAAGUUUAGACCUGAUAUCGGAGGUCACAUUAAUCAUCAAAGUGAUUGGAAAGCCAUUCACAAAUAAUUUGUCAAAAUCUCAUUCAAACGCAGCUCUGUUUAAUAUUUCAGGAUUUAAGACAGAAAACUUUAAAACACGUUAAAACGUUCGGAAAUAUAAUUCCGUAAAAUAUUAAAAAUUCAUUUCGAGACAAACUCAACUUAUGAAAUUCCAAAAAUUUAAUUUAUACCACAGUCCCUUUUUAGUAAGCACAGUUCAAAUCAGUUCAAAAUUAAAAAGAGAAGACUAAUUAUUAUGUUUAAAAUCAUGACACUUUCGAGACCUUUGGCAUACCGAGUCCAGCUUCAGAAAACCAGAGUACCUAAAAAGGGGAAAAACUAAGGGGUUGAGCUACACGAGCUCAGUGUGAGUUCGAAACUUAACAAACGACAAAGUUACAAAACAAAAUUUCAAUUAGUAGUUCAAUAGCAAAACAUAUUUACAAGGCUAUUACAAAUACAAAAUGUAAACACGGAACCAACGUCCGAACCAUACGUAUCAAACGAAACACAUCAUAUCAUUGUUAACAUAUCUUUCCAACAAAGAGAUGUAUGUCCUGAUGCAAAAUAGAUUAAAUACAAACCCACCCCACCAACCGAACACCACUUCGAUCCCCAUUCACUCCAUGAAUGAGCUAAAGGUAGCCCAACCAACCAAGCACACCACGUAGGACCUCGAAAGGCCCAUCCAACCCUUCACACACAUAUGUGGAACUCAACCACGUAAAUGGUAAUAUGCAGCUGAGUUGUCAUAUGUAUCAUACUGUGCGGUAAACCACUGUACAGAUGUAAUGAAGUUGAACUGCCGAAUUAGAUCAGACUUCCUUCUCUUUGCAAAAAAUCUCAAAAACUUUAUGCAAAUGCAUGUAUGCAGACAGACUUAUAGAAACAACAUACAGACAAUCAAAUCGAAUCAGAAGUACACACAUCCAAUUGACCAAGUUCAGAAUCAGAUAUCACGAUACAUAAUUAUUAAGCAACAUCACAUUAACAAAUCAUUAACUAGUGUAAAGAUUACAUAAAACACAUAUGUUUGAGCCAAAACAGAGUCUCAACUACCCUUACUAAGGCCUAGCCAAGAGUCUGAACACACAGGAACACAAUUUGAAUCACAAUCUGACUCAGAACCAAAAUUUACAAAAUAGGGCCACAUGGCCGUGUAGAGUCAACACACCCAUAUGAAGGAGGCACACGCCCGUCUGAAAGGAGACGCACGACCGUGUGACUAUGACAUAUGCUUGUGUGACCCAGGAAAAUGGCCGUGUGGACAACCCAUGCAACUCUCUGUCCAUUUGUGCUUAAAUAAGGUGUAGGGCGGACACGGUCGUGUGAAAGCCUCACACGCCCGUGUGUCUACGGGACACUGCUAUGUGUCCAGAACACACACCACACCAGUGUGAAAAUUGUCUAAAAUCCUUAAAUUCCCAAAUAUUGGCCACACGGCCAUGUGGCACCAAAGUCAUCCCGAAAACCCUAAUUCCCAACUGCACACAACCGUGUUAACCACCCAUGUGGGGUACACACCCAUGUGGCCACCCGUGUGGUCACGAAACAACACCGAAACUAGCUGUAGAUCAUGCUAUUGUUGCCAAAACGAUCCCCAACCCUCAAUAACCCAGAAAAACACCAUAAUAUACCAAUUUUCAUGUAAUUUGACAACUAGACAACACUUCAAUUAACAAAUUUCAGAAACACACAUAAAUUGCCAAAUUCACAAUAACAAACCAACAAUUAAUUAUCAAAAUUACUGGGUUCCCGAAAACACACCUGACUUCAUGAUUAAAACACCACAAUAGCCUUAAUCUGAACUUCAAAACAACUCACACAUUAAAAAAAUUAGAACAUUAAAUUGCAAUGCUAAUUUAAUCGAAAACAACAACCCAAAUAUCAAAUCACCCUUACGUAGAACUUCUGUCGAUGAAAGUGUGAAGCAAUAACUAAUGAUGACUAUACAAAAAGAAUAGAAUAGCAGGAAAAAAAGGGAAAAGAAAUGGAGAAACAAGAGAAGAAGGAAGAAACUAACAAAAUAAGAAAAAAAGGAACAUUAGAGAAAAAAGGGAGAAAGGAACGUGAACGUGGGAAAGUUGAGUUUUUGAGAUAAAAUAAAAUAAAUAAUAAAUAAUAUUUUAAAACUAAAAGCAAACUUAAGAUAAAAAUAAUUUCUCAAAACGCACACAUAAGGAUUUGAACCCAAAACCUAGAGGGACACAAAAUGCAAGCCCAUUGUGACCCUAAAACGCAAAAACCAACUCAAUUGUUCGUCCUAGCCCAACUACGAAUCUCAAAACUUCUAACCCUAAAAUCCAGGGUGUAAGAAGACCAUUAAAGUUGGUAAUCGAAAGAUAGAUAUAUUACACCGCAAUGACUAGGUCCAAAAAAGGGUUAAAUCAUUAGAGAAGAGUGAAUCCUCUUUAAAGGAGAAACUCAAUAUUCAAGAACUACAUCAUAAGGCUGAAGUGGAUAGUCUUCGACUGUCACACCCCAAAUUUAGGCCUAGUAGUUUUGAGGGUAGUUUAGGGAUUUUAUCUCAAAUGUGUUCAGAUAUUUUGAAGUGUGAUAAAUCAAAAAUGUGUUCAUCCAUGGCUUUUAGAAAAUUAAAUCAAUUUUUGGAAAUGAUGUUCUAAAGACCUUUCAUUUUGAAUAGAGGAAUGUUUUGAAAAUAGGGUUAAACUUAGGAGUAUCAAAAGGGUAAAUUUACAAAAGUUUAAAAUUAACAUAUUUCUUUCCCCCACUACAGGAACUCACAAAAUGUUUUCCCCUUCUCUUUGCUUUUGUCGUCCCUUGCAUCCCCAAGCAUCGUUCACUUAUUUUAUUUUCCACACUUCAAAUUUCUUGAUUUCCAUCACCUUCCAAGUGUUAAAUCUCCUUAUAAUUUCAAGAAAAACACUAAACACACCAUCAAUUUUGCCAUCUCUCAAACUUGUCGAUUGUUCAGAUUUUCUAUCAAAUGUUCAUUUUUUCUCCCAUCAAAGGUAAAAAUUCAUUUUAUAUUAGUUUUUGAUGAUAUCUAGUUAUUGAAUCGACAGUUUUGAAUAAAUGCCAAAAAUUGGGUCGUUAAUGGUAGAUUUCAGGAUUUUGAAUGAAAAUGUUGUUUUAAAGAGUUUUUAAACAUGUUUUAAAGUGACUAGAAUGUUUAUAAACUUACCUUAAAAUUUCAUUAAAAAAUUCCAAAGUUUUAAUAAAUUUUCUUGAAAGUUUGUCAUAGUAUGUCAAAAUUUUAAAACCAUGAAUAAGUGUAGUUUUGUGUAGUUUGAAGGUUGAGAAUUAUUCUUGUAUGUAUAAUGAGUCAAUUAGAAUCAAUUUAAUGUGAUAGGAAUGAGUAGAUGUUGAGAUUUUUACGUUUUUGAGAGACUAGUUUAGACUUGUGGUUUUGGUUAAUUUAUGUGAGUCUUUGGUUUAAUGCUAAUUGAGUUUCUUGCAUGAUUUACUUUGUUGAAGCUUUAGAAUCGUUAGGACCUUCUUCAAGUAAAGCGAAAGGCAAGGGAAAGCCAGUUUAAGCUUUCGGUAAUAAGGCGAAAGAGUGAACGGUGAAUGUUUGGAAUCACUGCUUGUAGACACGAUUCAUAGUGUUAAUUGGGGAUUUAGUAGUAGCAAAAACCCCUACUUUAAGUUCCAAGUGUAAGUUUUCUUAUACCUUUGCUUAAUUUGUGAAAUAUGUUAUUGUAGCAAUCAAUACAAAAAGCCACCAAUGUCCACCAAGAAACAGUUGCCAAUUGCCUUGGUGCAAUGUUGUAUUCAGUUAGCAUGGCACAAAAGAAUGGAUUGAGUGAAAAAUGGAAACCAAUUUAUAGCAGAAUCAGAGGUAAGAUGAAACCCAUGGUGUUGUCACUCAAAUGACAAUGUUGGGGUCCUUGAAAAUUAUAAGCAAAGAUUGGGUCUUGGAUACCCCAAAAUCUUAAAUACCGAUUCAUUUCAUCUUGGAUAGUGCUAUAGUUGAGCAUCUCUGUCUCUACUUGCAGUGGUGUAUUUUUGAGUUCUUGGGGUCCAAAUGGAAUGAGAUUUUUGGGUGUGAUUUUUUUUUGGCAUGGCCUCAAUCCCUUCCUCUAGUUGUGGUUUGAACCAUUUUUUGUGAAGGUACUGCAAUAAAAGGAAAUGAAAGAAAGAAAAAGAUAUACCUUUUGGGAAAAUCUAAACUUGAAGAUGAAGAAUAUAUAAAGAUUAAGCAGAUGAAAGGUUAGGGAUUCCUAUUGAUUUCGAAAAAGUGUUUGAAAGAGUGUUUGUGUCUUGGAUUCCUAUUGAUUUCGAAAAAGUGUUUGAAAGAGUGUUUGUGUCUUUAUUUUAUAGAAACAACUUGUGUAAGAAUUUUAUUUUGUGGAGAUCGUUCGAAUCUUCCAGUAUAAUGUUUGUUGGAAAAUCGGGUUUGGAAAAUGCAACGGAAAAUAAAUUUAGGGAAAAAAACAAAGUUUAUUUUUUUUUCCAAAACAAAAACUUGUUUGUGAUAUCUAAAGUAAUAAACACAUAAUGAAAAUUUUACAUUGUAGAUUCAUCUAGGAUAAAUGCUUCGACCGAGUAGUCUUUUCCGCUAUCCUCAAGCUCACAUCUGCCAAGUGCGGGCUCGCUUCGAAUAAAAAUUCAAAAAAAAUUACCAGUGGAGUAAUUUCAUAAUUUCUCUAAAUUUUUUGGCCAAGCUGUAAAUAAGAAAAAUAUCUCUAUAAAUUUUCUGAAAUAAUUUCUUCAGAUAAUUUUCUCUCUAUAACUUUGUUUUGAAUUCAUGUGUGUCAAAAAAUAAUGACCCAAGGCUCUCUUUAUAUAAGGAGAGUUUAGAGAGGUCAACUAUAAUUAAAUUUAAUCACUUUAAUAUUAAAUUAAUAUAAUAUUCAACAAGAUAAAUAUUAUAUUAAAUUUGAUAUUAAAUCUUAUUAAAUUAAUAGAGUAUUUAUCUACAAAAUAAACAUUAAAUUAAAUUUACUAUUACGAUAAUUACUUUAGUAUUAAAUUAAUAAAAUAAUAUUAAGAUAAAGAUUAAAUUUAAUUUAAUAUUAAGUCUAUUAAAAUAAUAUUAUUUUUCGAAUAGUUAAUCUGAAAUCAAAUUCUCUGGUAGAGCCUCAGUAGGAGUGUAAUUCUUCCGCUACUCAACAACCAAAGACCCACCGCCGCUAACCAUUUUUCGGCAACCAGAAUGUCAUUGUCGCUGCCGUCGACUGUAACACCCUAUACCCGGCCCAAGCGCCGAGCCCGAAUAUCAGGAUGUCACACCAUCGUCACACAUCAUAAGCAUUACAAAUGGUCUUGUUAUUAAGCAAACAUCUUCCAAUUUAGCUUUUGAAUAUUACAAGUCACACAUAUUCUAAUCAUCAUUAAGACAUGCUCAACAUUCAUCAGACAAACUUAAAAAGAGAAUUAAACAUUCAUCGAUACUGCUUGGAAAAUCGAUAUCAAGACAACAUUCUAUUUCUUGCUUAAAACCAAGAUCUCAAAAUUUAUCAGUACAUUUCAUAAAGUAUCAAUUAUUCUACCUUGAGUAUCGAUACUCGUGAUAUGGUAUCGAUACCAAAUUACGUUACUAACUUCCUGCACUUUCAAAUAUCAUAGAGGUAUCAUUUUUAAAACAUGAAUAUCGAUACUUCUGCUCUAGACCACAAAAAAUUAGUAGUUUAAUACAUAUAAUCCAUUCAAAAUUAUAACUACUCAACAUGCAACUUUUCCCUUAUCAAGUAAUCACCAAAAUGACCACAAUAAUAAUUCAAUCAUCGAAACAUGUCUGAGUAAGCAAAUGAUAUAACAAGAAAAAUAUCCAUAAAUCCUAAGAACAAAUAAUCUAUGAAAGUAAUAAAAACAUUAUGGCAAACUUCAUGCAACAAUUCUACCACAUUAUCCAGCAUCCAUUGACCAUACAUACCGUUCAUGACACUUUAACAUAGAAAAUAUUCAACCCAAAACAAUAUCAAUGAAAUAAUUAUAACAUCCAUCAAAAGUGCUAGAGAACUAAACCCAUGAAAAUCAUGAGGACCACAAUAAUAAUUUAUCAAAGUCUAACCAUAUUGCCUUAUCCCCACAAUUCAAAGAAUAAUAUUAAUACCAUCUACUCAAAUACUAAAGUCUAACUUGGAUCACUUCCUUGGUAUCCCCACACCGCUCACACUGCAAAUGCUAAAUAUCUACAAUGGUUAGAGAGAAUGGGUGAGCUUAAACAAGCUCAAUGAAUGUCGAAGUAACCACAAAGUAUAGACAACAUCAAAAGUUAAAUAAGAGCAUACUAAAAAGUGUACACAACCCUAUUCUAACCAUGCCAUAAUAACAUAUUCACACUUCAUUAAACCAUAAAAAUAGCAUAUACUCUCACAUACGGCUAUACUCUCACAAUAAUUCAUCAAGACUAAACAAUGUAUACAUGCUUUAAUAACUCACAAGUCUAGCUUAUAUAUUCACAUGUACUCACAAGUUAAAUGACAAUGACCCAAGCUACAAUUACAUACACAAUUUACCAUGAGAACAUACUAACAUUUUCAUGAAACUUAAAUUAACAAAUUUAGCAUAUUAUUCACUUGUUUAUGCAUCUGUCUCACAUCGUACUAUCACAAUAUAUAAGAUCACAUUUAAACGAUAAUUUGGCACUUAAGGCUAUGAAACAUAAAAGUGUGCUAUAUCACCACACAUUGGGUACACAGAUCUCCAACACACCAAAUGACUCGUAGAGUUGAAUAUAUCCCAAAAGUGUAGCACAUAGCUAACACUUUCCAACACACCAAUAUAUCUCGUGAAUGGAGCUUAGCUCACAUUCCCUUAUCUCUCCAAACUAUCACGAGGCCUCAAUGCCCAAAUCACAAAACACAAUGGUGAGUACUCACAAUCUUAUGACAUGCCAACUAUAUCCAACGGUUUCAAGAGAUCACAAGGCCAAAAUAUCCAUAAUUACACAUUUUUAAUUAUUGAUUAAAGCACAUCAUCUAUGUUCAUAUUCAUCAAUUUACAUCACAAACUUUUACACAAUGCAUGCUUAUCAGAUUCAUAUUUAAUUGCACCACAAUAAUGCUCAUUAAGCCAUCACAUAACUGACCACAUAUGUGUGCAUUAAAAUUAGUGCAUCAUAUAUCACAUACAAGUAUUCUCACAUAUUACUUGUCAUAAUAAUAUCACAUUCCACAAUUCAACACUUAUAUACUUAUCAAAAUUCCUCUCUCUUUCGCAACAUAUUUGCAUUAUCAUUGUCACUGUCAUUUGUCGUGUAUAUCAUGCCCACAACACAAUAAAAUUCACAGUAGUCAUCACACAUGUCUCAUAUCACAAUAUCGUAUCGUAAUAAUCAAUCCACAAUUAUUCACUUAAUCAUAUAAUUUACCAAAAUAAAGGAAGGAAAAUAUAAAGCUUACACUUGAAAAUUAGGAUAAGGGUUUAGGCUAUUCCUUAGCUCCUAAUUAACACUAUGAAUCAUGUCUACGAGUAGCGAUUCCAAACACUCACCGAUCACGCUUUCGCCUAAUUGCCGAAAGCUUAAACUAGCUUUUUCUUGCCUUUCGCCUUGCUUGUAGAAGGCUUAAGCAGUUCCGAUGCUUUACACAUAAUAACCACACAAUAUACACAAUCAAUUAACAGCAAAACACUCACCUAAACUAACCAAAAAUGCAGGCCUAAGCUAUAUUCCUCAUGAAACUGAAAUUUUGACUAACAAACUUGAAACUUAAAUAUCUUAAUCUUUACUCAUUCUCAUUGCCUAUAAUAGAUUCCAAUCAUUUAAUUAUACAUCUAAUAACAAGUCUCAACCUUCAAACUACUCAAAACUAUGCAGAUUCAUGGAUCAAAAUUUUGACAUACAAUGAUAAUUUUUAUAAAAACUCAAUAAAACAUUGGAUUUCUUUAACAAAACUUUAAAGAAUGUUUAGAAACCUUCUAAUCAUGUGAAAACUAAUUGAAAAACACUUUGAAACCAUGUUUUUACUCAAAAUCCCAAAAUCCACCAUUAACGACCCAAUUUUUGGCUUUUAUUCAAAACAUGCAAUUUAAUGGCUAAAAACUUAGUUUAAAAGACCAGAUAACAUUAAAAACUAAUAAGAAAUCGAAUCGUUAUCUUCUAUGGAAGAGAAACAAGCUUUCGAUUGAAAACUCAAAAAAUGAACAAGCUUGAGAGAUGACAAAAUGAAUGGUGUAUUUAGUAUUUUUCAUGAAAUUCUAAGAAGAUUUAAGGCUUGGGUGACGAUAAAAAUUAAAAGAAUAAAGUUUGUAAAAUAAAAUUGAGAGGGAGAAGCUUAGGGAGAACAAGGGACGACAAUAAAAAUAUGGUGAAGAAACUAACAUGGGUUUUAUAAAGAUGGAGGGGAAAAUAUGGUAUUUUUAAAACUUUGGUAAAAUUGCUUUUUAAUUACUCUUAAAUUGAACCCUUUUACAAAACAGUCCUUAUUUUAACAUUGAAAGCCUUUUUAGCAUUAUUUUGAAAACUUGAUUUAAUUUUCAAAAAGCCAUAGAUAAAAAUAAUUUCUAGUUACCACAAUUCAAAUUUUCAAACCCAUUUCGAGCCAAAAUUCCUAAUUUAGCCUCAAAACUUCUAGGCCCAAUUUUGGGUGUGACACCGACACCCCGAACUAGUUUAAUUUCUGUCAAUUCAGUUCAGGCCAGUGAUGGCCUGGCCGAUUUGAUCUAGCCACUGGUUAGACCUUGUCUAGACACGUAGGUCAGGUUUAGGGUGUUACAUUUAGUUGUAUAAGAGCCAGGUUUGUCAACACUCGAACUGUGUUUUGGGCUCAUAAUGUGUGUCAAAAGAUAGCUAAAUGGAAAUAGGAUAUCUGAAUCAUUUGGAAAAUUGGUUUUUAUAAAUGACUGAGCCUCUAACACCGAACCUGUAAGUAUUUUUAUUUUGCUAUAGUGACUAGUGGAAAAAUUGUAGUGAUUAAACUACUAUGUGGUUAAAUACUCUAAUAGGAAUUGGUAAAGGCAUUAUGUUGAAACCCUAAACUAAUCUGUGCACUCUAAAAUUGUAGAUAAACUGACAUUAUGAGUUCACACGAUAGUCGUGGAUGUAGGACUCGCGGAUGUUGUGGACGCUGAGGAGGAGCUCCGGCAGAGUCAUCUUCUAUGUGCAGUAUGCCCAAUCUAGAGACCAGCGAGACAGUUGGUACUCCUACUACUGAGACGGGGUCCUAAACUCCGAUGGCUGGGGACGACGCACUAUUUCAGGCUAUUAUUCAAGCACUAGAAAGGGUCAUCGAGACCUAUUUUAGAUUUGGAAGCUGAGAUUCGAUUAUAGAAUGACUCCGGUCGAAUGGUGCUGAGUUGUUCAGGGGCAUUAUUGGAGUCACCCCUACUGCUGUUGAGUUUUGGCUCAAAGCCACUGAACAUAUCAUGACUGACAUUGAUUGUACUUCCACUUAGAAAUUGAGGGGUGUUGUAUCCCUACUCUGGGAUGAAGCCUAUCAGUGGUGGCUAACGAUUGAGAAAGGUGCUCAGCCUGAGCAAGUUUAUGAGCAUGGUUCAUGGUGACCGAUUUGUGGCUAAACAAGAGGAUGAGUUUCUGAGACUAAGUAGGUAUGUGCGAGAACCGAUAGCAUCUGAUUAUAAAAAUGCGUAAGAUUUGAGGAAAGAUUACGAUAAGAUAUGCGAGUUUUGAUAGCCCCUCAAAGAGAGUGAGUUUUUACGACCUUAGUUGAUAAGGCUAAGAUAGUGGAAGGGGUCAAACGCAAUGAGUGUGAGCGGCGUGACCGCGAGAGAGAUCAGAGUAAGAUUAAAAAGAAUUCAGUCCCGCUAGUUUUAGACAGUGCUCUAAGGAACGAGCGAGGUUUGAUACGCCUCUGAGAUCCGAGGCACCAAUUCCAGUGACUAGGUUCAGCUCUAUAGAGACUGUGUGAAGUGCCAUCCGAGUGAGUUCUAGAGAAAGUUGAGAGCAUGCCUCCGUUGUGGGUUGACAGAGCAUCAGGUUAGGGACUGUCCCCAUCGACCAGACCAGGUGCUAGCUAUGACACAGACUCCAGCUUUGGGUUCUGUUUAGCCUCCGAGAGUAGGUCAGCAACCACCUAGAGGUCGUGGUGGUGUUAGAAGAGGUAAUGGUUUUGGUAGAGGUUAGACAACACCGGGUAGAGGUACGAGUCAGAUGGAAGCACAACAGAUGGCACUAGUUUAUACGGCAGAACGCUGAGAGGAUAGUGAUGAUGAUGAUGUCAUAGUAGGUACAUUCUCUAUUUAUUUUGUUCCGUACUUUGAUCUCAUUGACAUUGUGUCUACUCACUCGUAUAUAACCAGUACUGUUUCUACAAAUCUGGGAUAACUGCUGAGAAUACUGCUAUAGAAUUUUCUGUGAUUAGUCAUUUGGGUCAGUCGCUUCAUGUUGAUAGGGUAUAUAGACGAGUACCCUUUGAGAUUCAGGGUAUGGUAUUUCUGAUGGACCUAAUAGAGUUGUCUUUUGAUGAAUUUGAUCUAAUUUUUUGAAUGAAUUGGCUCGUAGAGUAUCAGGUUAGUCUAGAUUGGGCAACUAAGAAAGUUACUCUAAGAACGAAUGAGAAUAGCGAGGUUUUUAUGGUAGGUGAGCGUUGAGAUUAUUUCUCUAAUGUAAUCUUCGCCUUUGUAGCUAAUAAGCUAGUCCAAAAAGUGUGCGAGGCAUACCUUGCCUACGUAACUGAUUUUUUUCCUAAAAAGUUGUCUGUAGGAGAUAUUCGUACUGUGAGGAACUUUCUAGAUGUCUUUCACGAGGAACUACCUAGAAUACCUCCAGAUGGAGAGGUUGAAUUCAACAUCAAUUUGUUACCGGGCACCGCUCCUAUGUCUAUUGCACCCUAUCGCAUAGCACUGAAGGAACUUGCAGAGCUAAAAGCUUAACUUCAGGAACUUCUUGAUAGAGGGUUCAUCCCACCAAGUGUGUCUCCUAGGGGGCACUAGUACUGUUUGUUAAGAAGAAAGACAGAUCAAUAAGAAUGUGUAUAGAUUACUGAUAGCUGAAUAAGUUGACGGUAAAGAAUAAGUAUCUGCUACCGAGGAUCGACGACUUAUUCGACUAGAUAAAGAGACUAAUGUGUACAAAUUCGCCUUCAGGAGUUGUUAUGGACACUAUGAGUUCUUGGUGAUGCCUUUUGGAUUGACGAAUGCCCUGGCAGCAUUCAUGGACUUAAUGAAUCUGGUGUUCCAAUCGUAUUUGGAUCAGUUUCUGGUAGUGUUUAUUGAUGACAUACUGAUUUAUUCCAAGAAUAAAUUGGAGCAUAAUAAUCACCUUCACAUUGUUCUCUAGAUACUUCGAGAAAAACAGUUGUAUGCUAAGUUUACCAAGUGCAAUUUUUGGUUGUAGGAGGUUUCUUUUCUUGGACAUGUAGUGACUGUUAAAUGGAUCCGGGUCGGUCCCAAGAAAAGAAAAGUUAUAGUAGAGUGGAAACAAUCGAGAAAUGUACCUGAGCUUCGGAGUUCCCUGGGUUUAGAAGGUUACUACUAAAGAUUUGUCGAGCAAUUCUCUUUGAUUGCGUCACCUCUGACGAAGCUACUGCGUAAGAACACCCCGUUUGUGUGGUUUAAGGAACAACAGUCUAGUUUUGAAAAGCUUAAUUCUGUUCUGACGCGGGCUCUUGUUCUAGUUCAACUUGAGUCAGGCUAAGAGCUUGUGGUUUUUAGUGAUACAUCGUACGUUGGUUUAGGAUGUGUUCUGAUGCAAUAUGUUAAAGUGGUAGUUUACCCAUUGCGAUAGCUUAACACGCACGAAGGUAACUACCCUACACACGAUCUCGAGCUGGCUGCAGUAUUGUUUGCUCUAAAGAUUUUGAGGCAUUACUUGUAUGGUGAAAGGUGUAUCAAUUACAUUGAUCACAAGAGUCUCAAGUACUUGUUAACUCAAAAGGAGUUAAAUCUUAGGUAGUGUAGGUGGGUUGAAUUGCUUAAAAAUUAUGACUGUGUAAUAAGUAUCAGUCUGGUAAAGCUAAUCAGGUAGCCGAAACUCUUAGCUAUAGAAUGAUGACUGACUUGAGAGCGAUGUUUGCUCGUUUGAGUUUUGUUGAGGACGAAGGAAUGUUAGCUAAAUUGUAGGUUAAACUGACUUGGGUCAAAUAGAUUCGGGUUAAACAGUUGAGAGAUAAGUCUCUAGUUUAGCGAUUGUAACAAAUUGGUUCAAGUGAAACUUUAGAUUUUAGUUUGAAUAGCGACAAAUUUUUGUGUUUUAGGGGUCGAAUUUGUGUGGCUAAUGAUAAUGAGUUGAGGCUAACGAUUCUACAAGAGGAGCAUAGUAGCCUUUACGCUAUGCGUCCUAGUGAAAAUAAAAUGUAUCAGGACCUCUGAGAACUUUAUUAGUGGCACGGUCUGAAACGGUAAUUGGUUACCUUUGUAUCAUACUAUCUAAUGUGUCAAAAGGUUAAAGCCGAACAUCAAUUGCCCUCAGGGUUACUUCUGCUAGUUAAGAUUCCUCUAUGAAAGUGGAAGCGUGUAACGAUGGAUUUUGUUAGUGGGUUGACUUUAACCUGCACUGAUUUAUUCCAUGGCUUUAGGUUGGCGGACAGUCUGGACGAGUUAUUCAGAUCCUAGAGGAUAUGCUUCGGUGUUGUGUAAUUGAUUUCUGAGGUAGUUGAGAAGAUUACUUACCAUUUGCUGAGUUUGCGUACAAUAACAGCUUCCAGUCUAGUAUUCAGAUAGUACCUUAUGAGGCUCUAUAUGGUCGUAGGUGUCAUACUCUGUUGUAUUGGACUGAGUUAAAUGAAUGUCAAGUUUUGGGCCCCGAGCUUGUAAUACCCCGAAAAUUUUUACAGGAAGAUAUUAUUUUUGAUAUAGUAAGGAAAUAAAGUGACAAAAAGGAGAAUUUUGAGUUAUGACAACAUUGGGAAGUAUAUUAUGACAUAUUAAUUCAAGAAAGGAUUAAAUUGCAAAAGUGAGAAAAUUUUUGUUACCCAAUAGUAAAUACUCAAAAUUUAAGAGGUUAAAAUGUAAAUAUGAAAAAGUUGAAAGAUCAAUAGUGUAAAUAUUUUAAGGGUGGAAUAAUCUAGAAACUAAGGAAAAUGGAUGAAUUUUACCAAAUUAAGUGAUGAGUCAAGGAUGGAAUUUUAGAAGAUCUAAAGUGCAAAAUUUUCAAUUAGAAGAGAGAGAAAUCUAGAAAAUGAUGAUGAUGUUAGAGAUAUUUUAGAUUAAAUAAAUAAAUAAAUAUUAGUUUAUUAUAUUUUGAUUCGAUUUUUUUUCUUAAUGAUAUUUUAUUAUUUUAUUUUGUGUAUAUAUAUAUGUGGAAAGAAAGAUAGAAGCCAUCAUCCCACCAUUUUUCUAUGCAUCAAUGUGAGAAGAAGAGCGAGAGAAAGAAAGUUUUGCUUUCUUUACAAUUUGGUCCUCUCACCAAAAAUUCACUAUCUUCACUUAGAAUUCAAAGAAAUUUCCAUAGCCACCAAAAGAGAAAAUUGAUAAGGAGACUAUGGGGAGCUAGAAUAUCAAGUUAGAUUCAAGAAAUAGAGCCUGGAGGAGAGAGCAAAUCAAGUUAAAGAUUGAAAUCAAUAGAGCAAGGUAAGAACAUCAAGAUUUCAAUAUAUUUUUGAGUUUGAUAUUAUUGAAAAAGUAUGAAAUUGAUGUUAAUGUAGGGUUUUAUUAUAUAAGGUUCUAUGUUAUUGAUAUGUUAGUGAAGAAAAAUAAGAGA